Molecule: long non-coding RNA, 82859 nt
Filed under: Coffea arabica (coffee)
Lineage: Eukaryota; Viridiplantae; Streptophyta; Magnoliopsida; Gentianales; Rubiaceae
Description: long non-coding RNA (CARA_LNC003470)
Source: RNAcentral
UUUUUUUUUUUUUUUUUUUGGUCAGGGUGUCCGGGUCAAGACCCGAAGGCGGCCCGACUAAUCCCCUGCGCCUGAAGUACCCCGCCCCCCAAAAGCACCCAGGCGGUAUGUGAGGCCAGACUCGAACCUGUGCCACCCCGAAGAUUACCCCGAGGCUCACCAGCCGAGCUGACCCCGAGGGGCGAGCUUCUAGAUGGGUUCAGUUCAAUUACUUUUGUGUGGAAUGAGCUCCAAUUCCGGUCAAAUGACCCCACUUAAAUUUUAAAAACUUAUAUAUAUAUAUAUAUGUAUAUAUAUAUAAUACCAUAAUGCUUGAUCAAUAUCGUGGAAUAUUUUUCAGUAACACAGAAAUCAGUGGGACCAUACUGUUAAGUAAAUAUAAUACGAAAUACUUGAUCCAACAUAGUUGAAUAUUUUGCAGUAACACAGAAAUCCAACGGCAAGUUUUUACACAAUGUAGCAUUGAAGUCUCCUAUAAAAAAUGUAGGCAAAACAGCAAAUUUUACUUGAUACUGGUAACAGUGCAAUAUCUUUCUACCAAUCAUGCUCCAGACGUCAUCCCAUAAGAGUGUUGGAAAUACAUCAAGCCUGGUAAGGCAAAGAUUAAGGAUUAAUUUUUUCAAAAAAAAAAAAAGAUUAAGGAUUAAUUGCACUGUUGGGGCGAUUUCCUGCUACCAAUGGCUAGCUGUGUUGGAAUCAUGAGGUGGUUCCGGGUCUAAAUGGUUGCAUUGUCUUGAGUUCUCAUCUACUUAGAACUCAAAAGGGUCCCUUCUAGUUCCCCAGAUUUCUUCAAUUCUUCGCAUUUCUGUAAAUCAGAAAUUUACCAAUACUUGUAUUAGUGUAAGAACUUUUGUGUUAAUUCAUUAUCUAAUAAGCUAUUGUCUCACACAUAUCAUUAAUUUUUUUUUGAUAAAACGUCAUAAUUUCAUUAAAAUUUGCACUAAUGACGGAAGUUAUAUCAUCAAAUAUAUACAGAUAUUAAAGAAUAGAUCUAAAAAAUGGAUAUUGCAGAUCUGAAAAACAUAUAAAAAUUUCACUGGAAAGUUUCAAAAAACAUUUUAAAAAAAUAUGAGAUAAACUAAUUGUAACUCUACGAGCAUCUGUGCAUACUUCUAAUUGCCAAAUUUGUUGAUUAAUUGUAUAGACAAUGAACCAACCUCUUUCCAUAAUUGUUAAAAGCUUUAAUAACUAUCAUACCCAAUAACCUUAUUAAGAAUAAUAUACUCACUUACACAUAUAAUAGUGCUUUUUUGCUCAUGCGUAGUUAGGAAACUCUAGUUUAUUUUUGUACUUUUGUGUACUAUGGUCUAAGUUUUAAUUGUAAGCAUUAUGUCUGAAUUGUUACACCCCUGUUAAGAAAGACAAACAAAAAACAAACGAAAUUAUGACCCAAAAUCUCAAAAAUUGAAAAUUGUGCAUUAUGGGCAUAAGAAAAGUAAAAUAACUAUGCAAAAUCUACCAAUUGUAGCAAUUCUCACUCUUUAAUUUUGUUAAGAAAAUUGUGCUGGAUGAUUUCUAGCAAUCUUAUUAAUAAAAUUUCCUUAUUUAUACAAAAAAAUUCAAAGGGUAGUUUCUUAAGAAAAAAAAAGAGGAGACAAGCAUAAUGAAUGAUUAAGUCGUACAUGGUGGCAUAUUUCAUUUACAUUCAAGUAACGAAGUAUAUUUUAAUUUUGUUUUCACGUAAAACUCAUACAUUAACCGAUCAUACGUAAAUUAAGACAAGUGAUUUUUGAAGAUGAAUAUGAUAAUAGCAACAUCUUUAAUAAAUAUUUUACCUCAACUCUAUCUUUUGCUUGCUUCAAUGACUUUGAUCCGAUUACUUCUAUUUGCUAGUAACAAAUGCCACAAAGUAUACUAAUUGUUAUGCAGACUAGGCUUCAUCGUCAAAUUAAAGUGCCUUUUAUAGAAUUGUAAACAAAUUAAUCAAGUUUAAGGUAUCAUAUUUGCACAAGAAGCUUCCAAAGGACCGAAGCCUCCUUCUUUCGAGAAACGACAUUUGAACAAUUAAACCUAAUCUCAGAAGUCAACCCAAAGACCAAAGCCUCGCCGGCACAAUUUUUAUACCUACGACUUUCGAGUCCCCCACGUGAAUUGUGGGAGCCCACGUUGACAUCUUAUGACUUCUCUUGUGUUGCCAUCUCACUGGCUCUCAGUCCUUUUUAUUCUUAGCUACUAAGCAUACUAAUAGCUAGUUUGGGAGUUUAGAACAGAAAAGAAAAGAAAAGAAAGGAUAAGUUAGAAAAGAAAAGAAAGGAUGGAAAAGAAUCAAGUUUCUGUCUAAGUUGUUAAGUAGUUUUAAGAAAGAAAAGAAGGUAAGUAGUUUUCUUUUGUUUGGGAGUUGAAGAAAAAUAAAAAGAAAAGAUAUCCAAAUAAGUUACUUUACAAAUAUGCCCUUUUUAUAAGCAAAUGUGAAAGUUGAUGGAAAUUUGGUCGUUUGCUGCUAUCUAACGAAAACUAUAGAAUACUAGGAGGCAUAAACUACCAUCUCUUUAAGUGUUUUCUCUGUCAAAUAAAAAUUACCAUCUCUUUAUGUGUUUUCUUAUCGAAAGGAUGUCUUUUGACGAGGGUUUUGUAAUAGAGGGAUUCAUUGGAAAUUAAAAUAUUUUGAAUCAGGAUUUUAAGGGUAAUAUUGUCAUAUAUGAAAAUUUCCUUAAAACUUCGAUGUGUUCCUUCCUUUCCUGCCCAACUUUGGGUGAAAAGUUUUCAAAAACAUGGAGGAGAGUGAAAUCUUUCCAAAUUUUUUCUUUUCCUUCUCAUUUUUGCUUCCAAACAAUGGAAAAAAAGUUUAUUAUCCUUUCAAAAAUUUUCUUUUCUUUUCGUUUCCUCCCUCCCAAACUAGCAAUAAAAGAGUCCUAUUUUUUGGGUUUUUAUAAAAAAAAAUAUUAUAAUGAUGUUAGCAUGAUGUAAGCGGAAUGACGAACAUAGGAGCAAUGGUGGUUGAACAUGUCAAACAUGUACAGCAAGUUUCCUUGCUAUGUUUUUUUUUUUAAGGAAAGCUAUGGUUUUACUUUUACUUGUGCAAAUAAAUUUAAGUUACUUGUUCAUAAAAUUGUAGAUAUCAUUACUGAAGAGGUGAAAAGUGACAAAAAUUUUCUGGCGUAUAGACUUGCUUUUGAGCUAUAUAAUCAAAUUCUUGGUGCUGUUAGAGAAUUCAUUGGAUAGUUUCAUAAUUUCAACUCACCCACCCGUUUGGGCGGAAGCAACCCGUCAAGAGUCAGGCUAAUGCCAAAAUCUCCUCUAAUCACCGGUGUUUUUAAAACUGGACGGUUUACCUCACUGGUUCCAUUUUAGUCACAAAACACCAAUGAUACGUACAAGACAACAGCUUAUUAGAUGACGAAUUUAGUACAAAAGCUCCGACACCAAUACAAGUAUUCGUAAUUUUCUGAUUCACUGAAAUGCGAAAAAUUGAAGAAAUCAUAGAACCGGAUACAAUAAAUUGGGAUGGAUUUGGUGUGAGAAUCUAGAAGGGAUUGUUUUGAGUUCUAACUUCCAGAAAUCGGAGAACAAGAUAUAAUAAGUGUAAAUUACUUAUAACCCUCUGUAAUUUUACAUACUGCUGGAUGACCCCUAAGAUUUCAAAAUAGCCACAUAACCUUCCUAUGCUUUUAUGUAAAGUGAAAAAUAGGCGGAAUGCAUAAUUAGUUACAGCGUCUCUACCAAAUGCACUCAAAAAGUGUGUGUGAUAAAAUUUUAAUUUUCAUGUAACCUCCUUAUGAUUUGUAUAAAUAUUCACUUUUAUUCUUCUAUGAUUUUUACAUUUAUUCACGUAAUCUCUCUAUACUUUUAUACAAGGUAGUAAAGCCAUCGAUUAAUUUAACAUUUUAAUAAGAGCACUAUUGAUAUUUCAAUUGACAACGUUCUAUAAGCUAUUUUCCGUCAAAUUUUCACUUUAUUUUGAAAUGUUAAGAAGGUCAUGUGACAAUAUAUAAAAUCACAGGGUUGUUAUAUGUAAUUUACUCAUAUAAUAAUUUGGGCUGGAUUUGGUACGAGAAUCUCUAGAAGGGAUUUUUUCUGAGUUGCAAGUGGCAGAGAACUCGAGACAAUGCAAUCAGUUUGACUUGGAACCACCUCAUGAUUUCAUCACGGCCAUUGGUAGCAGAAAAUCGCCUCAUGUCUAGUCUUUUAAUAAAAAAAAUUGCUAUACAAUUCUUGGAUUAAUCCUGGCAGACGCAACAAAUUAACCAAAAAUUGGUCAUUAAUUUGACUAGUUGAGAUAGAAAGGUGAUGGACGGAAGCAAUGGCACUCAACUAACUAUCAAUUUUUUGUUUCUUUGGGUUAACUAGAUGUGGUAAAUACAAAAUACAACGAUAAAGAGAAGGAAUUUGGCUACAAUCAAUCAAAUUUAUUCCGCUUCAUUGCUUGCAAAUAUUAGUAUAAUGAUAAAUGAACACAUUCAUGAGAUGGGAUGAACCUUAAAAUAAAAAGGGAAAAAAAGGCUCCAGACAAAAGUUAGCCUUGAAUGUGUGCAUCAAGUGAUAAAUAUUAUUCUCCAUUAUUCCCAGUUUCACACCUGUUAUUUCAGCUUUUUGCUCUUCUAGAUAGAGUAGAUAGAUCAGAUAUGAUGAUGUGAUACAUGAUAUUAAUAAAGGAAACACUAGCGGUGGCCUGGCAUGUUACUACUUACUAGUUAAUACUCUCCUUGCAAUAUAUUAUAUCCCAUAAAUAAAGUGGUUAAUCUUUUUAUAUACUGAUAGUAUAUAUACUGUCAACGUUGAAUGAAUAAUAAUUAUGUAAAAUUUGAUUUUAAAAUUCAAUUUUUUACAUUUAUAUCAUAAAUUCAAUGGUGAUAAUAUAUGCACAGUCAGUAUAUAUGAGAUUUACUCUAAAUAAAUUUAGAGAGGUAUAUUGACUAGUAAUGAUGGGCUAAUCAAGGCAAAAUAUUUUGUUGGCCCACAAAUUAAUUUGUGUGUAUACUUUCAACAACUAUUAUUUGUAUAUUUUUAAUCCUUCAAUUUUUAAAAGCAUAUGUUUUCUUAUCCUUCCGUCUGUUUGGACCGUCAGAGGCCAACAAAAAAUCGCAUCUAGAAGAAAUAGAACAAAGUAGCACCUAGUCUUACUCCAAGAGUCCAACGCAAGAGAAACUUGAAAAAGACCGCAUCAAUCAGUUUUUGAAGCAAACCACUGGGCCAAUGGCUCAGUGGUCACCGGGGAGGGAUUUAAUCUUGGAUUGUAGGUGAGGGUUCAAAUCUUACCUGAAGCGAAAAAAAUCGAAGGAUUGUGCCCACUAGCCCCUACCAUAGCCUCCUUAGGCUCCCUCUCCCCCAUAGAUUAGGAUAGAGUAGGUUAUACAAAUGUAUCGUUGCUGACAAAAAAAAAAAAAAAAUCAGUUUUUGAAGCAAAACAGAGAAGCUAGAGUCCAAGUUCAAUGAAUCCCAAACAGUCGUAUUUGAAACAUGCAAACCUUAUAUUCUCAACUUGGCUAUGGUCCCCAAUCUUCUAAUUAAGUUCUCCUUCAUCGUACCUAUACUUCUUUGACGAAUGGAAUGGAUUACUUUUCUUUAUCUAAUCUAAUUUGUAUUUCAUUCAUUUAGAUAUUAAGUCAAAAGACAGUUCAUGAAAUUAAUUAUACAUGACAUGUAAUAAUAAAAUGAACUGAUUUAAUCAGCCUAAUGGCAACCUGAGCUCAAGUGUACCAGCGUUGCCUUCUCGAUUAUUUACCGUAAAUGAGAAAACAUAAGAACACAUCUCGAGUGAUUAAUAUAAGAUAGCAAUUUUUCUUCCUUUAGUAAAAUGUCGCAUUUAGUUGUCCUUAUACCAAAAGCAGCAAAGAUGAACUCACUAAAAAAAAAAAAAAAAAUCCUUCUUAUUAUAAGAAGAAACACCCCAGAGCUUGGAACUCAAACUUCUUUGUCUUACCACAAACUGUCCAUCUUGACAUAGACUCUACCUCUGGACAUAACUAAAUUCCAUUCAAAAAGUGAUUUCUUACAAAUACUUGAGAAAAAAAAAAAACAAAUUCCAUUGUAUUUGAUUAAACCUACCAAGAGAUGACCAAAGUUUUCUAAAAACAAACCAUAAAUAAAGCAUUUUCAAGGGCAAAAGAGUAAAAUCAUAAUAAGUACAACUAUUUUCAAGAACGGAAUGAUCUAUGUCAUAUUGACUCAAAGGGACAAAAGUGUGACCUCUGCUUUUUUUUAAAUAUUUAUUUAAUAACUAUUGUUUACAGAAAAUAUACUGCAGAAGUUAUUAAACAACAACAGCAAGUGAGUUUUUUGAGUAUUUGUCUAAAACUUUACUGUAAGUUACUGCAGAAGUUUUUAAAAAAAAAUUUUCGAAGUGUGUAAAUUUUUGAAUAUUUUAAAGUGUAUAGUUUAAAAACUUUGAAAAGUUUUUCUGAGGUUACUGUAGUUAAAGUUUUUAAAAAACUUGUAGCAGACAAACUUGGCAAAAAACUCGAAGUGCCAAACAGGGCUAUUGUUGACAAACACUGUUUCAAUAGGAAACUUUGGAACAGAAAUAUCAUAAACAAUUAUGCAUCAAUUUUCAAAUUUCAACUAGCUUAGUACAACUUGGCCUUAGAGUUUUUGACUCUCUCUGCUGUCUCACCGACCAUCUUUUGAUAAUUUUUGUUCCACACGUUUCUAUUUCUCGUGGUGAAAUCUUUUCAUUUUUGAUGCCCCAUCUCUUCCCACAUCUUCUUCGACCUGUUUAAAGAUGAGAAACGGAAAUUUUAAAAACAAUAAUAUUAGAUAUUAUAGAAAAAUAGAAAUUAAUAAAUUGAUCAUCAGCACUGUUAAAUCUAACAUGAGACGCAAUACGAACACCUUCAAUAUAAGAAAAGGAUUAUAUUAUCAUAUAUAAAUAACAUUUUUUUUUAUCAUCACACAGUAUUUGGUUUUUGGGCACAUGCUUAAAAAUCCAAACAUUAUCUAAAUUAGGAAGAACACAUUUAAAAAAAAAAAAAAAAAAAGAACAACACCUACAAUUGGAUCCACUUUUCUUGCUAAGGAGGCUAGACAUCAACCUGGUAACACUGUGUGAAAAAAGGUCAGACGACAAGAAUCUUUUCUUCUAACGUUAGGCACGAUUGACCCAAAAAACGUAAAAAGAAAGGGUAGAAAUAUAUGGUACAAGUUUAUAUUGCUGGUAAAAAUUAGACAAUAUCCAAGUUUGAUUGUAAGCAAGUUUAAAAUCUUACAAUCAAAACCAGCCACAAGAAGAAGGUUAUAUUUCUCUUAGUGUUGGAGGGAAACCUUCCAGUAUGAAAGUUAGCAAAACGUUAUCCAUCUUAGUGCUUCUGUCUAGGCCAACAGGAUCAUACUGUGGAACCCUACUGGAAAAGAUACCUAAAAUCCCUAAAAUAAAAAUUAGUGACAGCUACAAUUCCUACAGCAGUUGAAAGAAUAUGUAAUGCGUACAUGAACUUCUAGAAAUAUGUAUAUAUAUAUAUAUAUAUAUAUAUAUAUAUAUAUAUAUAUAUAUAUAUUGAUUUUGGGGGUUAAUUUUUGUGUGAUGAAUAUCGAAAAUCUUCAUGUUAAUAGUUUAUUAUUUCACUAUGGAAUAGCACCAAAAACUAUUACAGCAUAAUACAAGUCAAAAUCAAAAUACCACUCUUUCUCAGCAAUACCAAAUUGCCAAGGACUUGACUUGUUUGGUGUAUCAUUUUCCGACCAUUCCCCACCGCCCCCCCCCUCCCAAUCACGUAAUUGUUAAGAAAGGUGAGAUAAGAAGCUAGUAGCCAAAAUUACUUUGUUAUUAUUCUCACAAAUUUUGUUGUCUAACUUAAUUUUUCUUUUUUUUUAACAUAGUGCUACCAAAAAUCUUAGAGAAGAUUUGAAUGAUUGUCAAUUAAUUCUAAUUAGAGGGUGAUUAUCAAGUUACUUGAGUAUAUGUAAAAGACUAAUUCAUUACGUGUGUGUGGAUAGUUAUUUAAUUGUAUCAUAAACACAUUUUUUAAUCUUUUUUUUAUUUUUUCAACCACUUUUUCAUUUCACAUACAUCAUAUUGAAGAAAUUAUUGCAGUAUUUUUUUUUGAAAAAAAUUAUUUCCAAUAAUCUUCUAUCCCAACACGCAUUAAUUAUUUUCUUGUGAAGAAUUAAAUUUUGUGGCACAUUCCAUAAUGGCACUAUAGGUUGCAAAUCGGAAGAACACGAUUCACUUUUUUUCUUUUUUAGUUGUGCUGCCAAAGCCAAGAUUACCCUAUCUGAUUUUGUUUAUGACGUCGGAUGCCCGGGAGAACAAAGGUUCGUUAUUGACCCUAAGUAGAUAUUAUCUAUCCCAUUUCAGGGUAUAAUAAGCUGCCCAGUAAUGCUGCCCCAUUAGUCAAAAUCUCGAAGGCAUGAUAACUCGUUUAUCCUAUUUUACUCGUUGAUUAUAGGCAUGAUAACUCGUUGAUUAUAGAUAUCAUAUUAUAGUACAAAAAAAAUCCUAUUUUACUUGUUGAUUAUAACAUAGAAACCUUUGAUAUUUUCAUGGGGACUGUAAUCCUACCUACUUCAUUCUAGAAUGCGAGAUCAACCUAGCUCGUUUGGAAAGUUAUUUUUCUCUAAAAAAUUUUUACAUUUUUUACAAACAUAUUUUUCAAUCAUUUUUUUAUCUCAUAUAUAUCAAAUCGCUAUAGUACAUUUUUUUUUUAUAUAAAAACUCCAAAAAAUAGCAAUCCAAACUUUCUGGCUUCUCAUUGGUGAUAGCUAAGUGGAUAAGGAGGAACCUUGAAAUUUCAUAUGGCAUACAAGGAAGGAAAUAGGAUACAUAUAAUCAACGAGUUCUCGUGCCUUGAGUAGGUCUUUGGCUGCAAUAUCAGUCGAAUUCAUUCGGCUUCUUUGAUUGCAAAUAUAGAUGGAUUAGAUAGAUCAGAUACGAUGAUGUGAUAUGAUAUUAACGGAAACACUAGCGGUGGCCUGGCGUGUUACCACUCUCCUUGCAUUUUGUUACAUCCAUAAAUAAAAGUGGUAAACCUAUAUUGACCAGUAACGAAGGGCUAAUCAAAGCAAAAUAUCUUGUUGGCCUUCAAACUAUUAUGUUUACAUAUUUUAACAACUAUUAUUUGUGUAUUUGUAAUCCUCCAACUUUUAAAAGCAUAUAUAUAUAUAUUAUAGCUCAAACUCUAUACCUAGUACCACUACUCGAACUUGAAUUUAAACUCGAGUGAGUUGUUUGAUCAAAGCACGAAUUCCACUCGACGUAAUAUUAGAAAGGCUUGAACUCGACUCGACGUAUUAUUAGGAAGGCUCGAACUCGACUCAAUAGAGCUCGAAAAAUUGGUGAGCUUGAUAUCGAGCUUGAACGAUAAACAGUUAGGAUCGUAAAUAUUGCAAAUCAAGCUAAAAAAGUAAUUUUAUUAUUUAUAAUAUAAUAAUUAAAUAUUACAUCGAGUAAUGGAUAAAGCUCGACAACCUUUCAAGUAUAUGAUAUACAUGAUUGAACUUAACUCGAAACCUCAAUUAAAUAACUCAAACUCAACUCAACGUUAGCCAGUUACUUGCGAGUUCCGGUCAAGCUGCUCAAUUGAAUUGCACCCUGCCAAGUCGUAUCCGACACGCCAAACUUUUGGGAUAGAACUUUUUGAAGCUCAUGAUCAUUGUGGGUCCGCCACUUGUUCCCACUUCUAGUAUCCGAGCCACUACUGCAUUUUGAAAUCUCACACGGAAACAAAGGUAAAAGUGGAACCAUGUUGGGUUUCACACUAUUGAUAUAAAGGCACCAAUCCGAGAAUUCAGCGAAAUUUCAUAAUAUUACAGGAAUAACUAAUGAAAACGUGAAAAAUGACUAAAAUUUUCUAGUUUAUCAACCCCCUUUCCUUGAUUCCUAAAUGUUACCCCACCUCUAGUGGAAACCUUUAUAAUCAGAUUCUUGGUAUUGAAAAGAACUCAUUGGAUAAUUUUCAUAAUUUCAAGACGCCGGAAGCAACCCAUCAAGAGUCAGGUCAAAGCUAAAAUCUCCUCUAAUCACCACCACUAAAAAUAAUAAGAAGACAAAGGACUGAGUUGCAUUCGCCCACUGAACCAAUGAUCGAGUUGGUCUUAUGCUUCAAACAUUUUCUAAAAAAAUUCCUUUUCAUCCUCUAAAAUUAGAGAUAAUAAUGGGAGAGAUAAAAAGGAUGAUUAGAUUCUCCUUCUAGAACAAUCAGUCCAAUGUAGAAUUUGAACAGUAUUCAACUGAACUGUAGAAAAAUAUCAACCAAGCAUUAGUGGUUUGUUUUCUUUGUUUAGUGGCUACGCAUCGCUAUUUGGUUGGCUAGUACAUUUGGGUUGCAUGAUUGAAUUGCAUUCUUGGUCACGUGGAAUUAUUUCCCUUAAUGAUUAGUAAUUGUAAUAGAAGUCAGAAUAGUUAGUCGUAUAAGGGCUUUAUGUUAGUAGCCUCGGGCCGUGUGUUAUAUAUAAGUCAGUAGUCUCUGUUCAUGGUGGUGUUCUCGUAAGAAAGUUGCUGCAGCAUGGUUGAAUGGUAGAAGAAAAUUUCCCUUUGCCUCUAUAUCGAUAUUCCUUGUAAUUGUUAUACUCUGGGUUUAUGUUCAUUUAUCAAUUUGGACCCAUCAAAGCAAUUAUGAAAAGUCAGAAACUGGAAUAUCAAAAACCCAAACAAUUUACUAGAACUGAAAAUUAGAACAAUUUUGAGCUGUAAUUGACGAAGUAAUUAAAGAAUUAAAUACACAUGUACAUAUGUAUGUAAUCAAUUGAGCUUUACUUGGUUUACAGUCUUGGCGCUAUGCUUGGCAAGGCAUUCAAAGCUAAAACUAGGAUUUACAGCAACAAUAAAUGUGUUCCAGAUUCUGUAGCACUUGUCUAAAAUUUUGCCAAUUUCUUUUAAAACUAUGAUUGACGAGCCCGUUUGGUAAGUGAGUUUUUUGGGUGUUUAUCUAAAAUUUUACUGUAAUUUACUGUAGAAGUUUUUUUAAAAAAUUUUUUUUUUUGAAUUGUGCUUUUCUUUUGAAUAUUUUGAAGCGUAUAGUUUAAAAAUUUUUAAAAUUUUUUUGAAGUUAUUCUACCUAAAUUUUUUCAAAAAACUUGUAACAGACAAACUUAGCAAAAAAACUUGUCUGCCGAACAAAGCCAUUUUCGUUAAGCAGCCAAGUCACGGUACUUACUGAUUUUUUUGACCGGGAAUUCUUCUGAAGCUAUGACUUUUCAAUGCACGUUCACAAAACAAUUAAAAUAGCUCAGGAAGAAGAAAACAGUAGCCAGAAAAAAAAAAUUUUAGUUUGUACAUUUUUAGCAAUCUUUUAACUGUUGUUGACUGAUGACUUGCGGCAUAGAAUCUCCAUAAUGACUGCCGAGGUACUGACGACUUUGGGCAUUGAAUAUCCAUAAUAACUGCUCAGUUAGCAAUCUUAACUCUUAAUUGUAUACUUUAGUCUUUCAACUUCUAAAAGCAAAUACCUUUAACUUUUUUCGUCAAUUUCAACCAUUAGACCUAAUAAAACUUAUUUCAAAAUGACCAAGUAUUGAUCAUCUUCUUCCUAUUAUCAACUACCGAUCAACGUCAUUGACCAAGUAUUGACAGCUAUAUAGUACUACGACAAGAUUUACAUGAAUUUGCACCGCUAGACUUUGUUUUCGUGUGGAUUUCAAAUCAAUGUUCGAUUUUCUGUGAAUCUUGCUAGAUUUGAGUAGAUCUAAAAAGAAGAAAAAAGAUAAAAGAGAUAGUUUUACCACCGUUUUGCAAUCCUUUACAAAAUAUUUGGAAUCAUAUGCCAAAACAUUCCUUGGAAUAAGAAAGAACGUUAAAAGACACAAAGAAUUUGGUAUGAGAUCCAAUUUUUGUUGGCCUUAACCUCACAAGCAAACAGCAAACAGAGGCUAGGCAAUAUGAGCUUUUAAAAGUUAGAGGGCCAAAAAUACAAAAAUAAUAAUUAGUCAAAGCAUAUGAACAUGAUGAUAGUUUAAGGCCAACAAGGUAUCUUGCCCACUACUGGUUACUAGUCAAUACACGUUGCCUCUUUAAAAACUAAUAGUCUGGGCUGAGAAUUAUUUAAGCAACUAUAUAUUGUCUAAAGAAAUAAAUCACUUGGUUAAGUUAUUUAAGAGCUGCACUCAAAAGCAUUGAAUUAAUUCAUAAUACUAAAGAAUAUUAUGAACAAUAAGAAUGGUGCUAAAGGCUCAGAUCUCAUGAUUGGAACAAAGUCAGUAGUAGUAAUUCUGUUAGUCUUUUUUCCAAGUGAUAGGCCUAAACUAAACAAUAAUCUUACACUAAUUACAUUCAUUUUUCAAGACAAUGAGCAUGACUAAGGCUAAUCACCAUUACACUGGUACCAAAGAAAUUCAGAUGUACAAGCCCUGCGUAACCAGCCACGCAACUAAAAAUGUCCAAUUUCACUUAUCUUCACAUCAAGAUGCAUCACAAGGCAUGGUCCAAUCGUUUCUCCAGAAUUUGAAGUGCCACAUUGACCUCAUAUUCUAAAAUCAUCUGCAUAUUCCUAGUAGUAGUAGCAUCAAAACGUGGUACUGCAUUAGGUUUGGUUUUAAAGGCAAAGUUGAUCAAAUUUCUUGGAUAGAGGAGUUUCGCCAUCCCUUCUUGCUUUUGUAUGCGUUAGAUGACCAGUAGUUAUUCCUUCAUGGUGCCAUAAUUUCAACAAUUUAUUGAGUUAUUAUUUCUUUUUUAUUUCGACUGCAAACUUAGGUCUUCCUCCUAAAAUCUUAAUCAAAAAAAAAAAAAAAAAGGUAAUUCAUGGGGAGUAUCUCGUACAAAUUAAUCAGCUCAAAAUCAACAAAAAUUGAAUCUUUUAUGGACACUGAAUCUAAGGGUAACCCGUUUUUCUUUUUGUUGAAAAUGUGAAUUACAAUAUGAAUUCCUAGCACUUUUAAAAGACUCCAUAAAUGUACCAUUAGUUUAUUUAAGUAUGAUUUGGUAUGGUGAAAAUGUAACAGAGGCGAAGCAGAAUAGUUUAAUGAUGUACUACAGCUUGAGAUUGACUUGGACACCAAAAAAUAAUGAACAAAAUGUCAUGUUGACACAUGACAUGAUGAUAACGCAGCAGCCUGUACGUGGCUUACUAUUACCACUACUACUAGUAAAAUGAGGUCAGCCCUAUAACGUCAUCUGCUGCGUCAUCCCACUCAUCCAACGGCACGGAAAGUAUUCAAAUGUGCACUUUGAUCUAAUUCUUCCACUGGAUUAACGACCAAGUAGUAGUAGUAUUCUACCACAGCCCUAAUACUCUUCUAUACACUACUAAGUAAAUCAUGCCCACAAAGUCCCCUCCACCUUUAAUUGUUCUUUCCAAUCACUACUAAUUAUAGCACAGAAGAAGAAUUUUGAUCGUAAAGAACAAAUUAACCCUCCUUAAAAAGUAGAGUAGACAGACACUAUCCUAUGUAUCCUAUGGACAUGGACGAGGGGUUAGUGCAGUUGCACAUUAUGAAAUUCAGCCCCCAUUUGUACAUGCACUUCUGAAGUGUAAUUGUUGCAAAAAAAAAAAAAAAUCGUUAUAAAAAAACAGACUCACGGAUGCAUUACCAAUUCUUGUCUUCUUCAUUUAAUAAUUGUCUAUGCACAAAAUGGUUGCAUUAAUUUUACAUUUUUAGAAGUGAGGUAUCUUAAUUGAUAGAAAACAAAAUUUCAAGAUGGUGUCCUAGAAAUCAAUAGAAAAAAGAAUAUCUAUCAUGUGGUGCCUAAAGUGAGACCUCGGAAGGAACCCUUUUGAGGUUGUGUGAUUGAUUGAUUAAAUCUAUUCUUUGGUAAGAAUUCUAAUUUCAUUUAUCCCUAAUAUAUAUACACACACACUACAUUAUUACAAAACAGUACUUGAUAAUUUAUUGGAAACUUGAACAUUCACUUCUUUGGUUGCUACAAAUAAAUCGAGAAAUUAAUAUAUUGAGAUCGUUUCUGCACCAAUUCUUAGGACCCAUGGAUAAAAUGAGAUUAAUUUAAAACCCAAGAAAACAGAGAUAAUGACCUUAGGAAUAGAUGGGUUUAAUGUUAUAGAAGCAAUUCUAUUUGCCAGCAAAAGGAAAUAAUGCCCUGCAAGAAGCAAACUAUUCGAUGAAUGAUGCACAAUUUUAUCAGCUUAGCUUAAAAAAGAAACAAAUAUUUUUCUUCUAAAGCUCGAAUGUAUGUAGUAGAGUUAAUUAUGAAGAUCCUCUUGAUUAAGGCAGAAUCAAGAGUUGCUCAAGAAAAAUGAGUUUGAAGGAAGUGCUCAUGCUUAACUACAGCAUACGAGAUAACUCAAAAACACUUCAAACAUCUCUUCUACGUGCAUCAAAAGCACGACCAAUGUGAGCAGUGGUUAUUAGAAAAUAGAAAAGCGCCAUAAUAGUCGAAACAAAUGUUCUAAAUCCAUUUAUUUCUUUCAUUUUUUCAAUUUUAGCCGAAAGUAGGUUUUGAAUCUUUAACGCAACUUGUAUAUUCCAUAUAGAAUAUAGAAUCAGAAUUAAGAUCGAGGAGGAAUAUGGCUUGCAAAAGAUAUGGAGCAAAAGUCAGCUAGGAAUAUGGCUCAAGUGUCUUCAUCCAAUAUUUUCUUAUCAUCGAGGCGGAGGACCUAAUAUUAUACACAGCCUAUGUUUUAUUUAGCAUAAACGAAAAAACAUAAGAACACCGCUCCAGUGAUUAAUAUAAGAUAACAAUUUUUCUUCUUUUAGUAAACUUUUGCAUGAAGUUGUCCUUAUACCAAAACCAUCGAAGAUGAACUCACUGAAAAAAAAGAUAAACUUACCUCUAUCCAUCUUGACAUAAACUCUACCUCUCAACGUAACCAAAUCCCAUUAAAAAAAGUGAUUUCAUACAAAUACUUGAGAAAAACUAAAUUCCAUUAAUAAUGCAUUUGAUUAAACCUACCAAUAAAUGACCAAAAAACAAAGUUUUCUAAAAACAAACCAUAAUUAAAGCAUCUUCAAGGGCAAAACAGAAAAUUCAUAAUAAGUACAACCACACUAAGCACAAAACAAGCACAUGCAUCAAAUUACAACUAUUGAAAGCAAAGCGUGGGAUGGAACGGAUGAAACAACGAUAAGGAUAAGGCUUUUGCUGACCACAAAAUGCAACAGCCUGUCAAAGCAAAAACAGGUGAAAUCAAACAACGUACAACACUUUAAAACACAAAAGGAGAGACUGUGAACAAUUCCUUCCUAGGAUAUGUAAAAUUUUGUGCAUAAUAGUUAUUUAUUGUCUUUCCAAACAACAGAGAGAUAGAAAUCCUAUCAUCAAAACCUCUAUGCAGUGGAGGUAAUAGUGGAAAUGGAUCUAACGAGAAAAUUAAAAUAUCUAUUUUGCAAAAAAUUUGCUUGAAGAAUAAAUUUUUUAAUGUUAUCAUGUGCAAGGUCUUUGAACAGAAUCAUGAAGGAUGAUACUCUUUUUAGCAGUCCAAGUGAUGAAAAGAAGCAAAUACCAUAUGAACAAGGAUAUCGCAGCCAAGCAGCUUCACUUUCUACAACUGGUAAAUCUCCCAAGUAUAGCCAUCGCCCUCUUCUGUUAAAAGAAAAAAGAUCGUCGGCAGCAGCUUUUGUUCCUAUGAAAGUGGUGGUCGAUCGGAUCGGAUCUCUACCAAAGCUAUCGCAGCAGCUACCCUUGUUCUCCGUCUCUUCUUCCCCCCUCUCUCUCUCAAAUCCUGACUAAGGCCUUCUUAUUUUUUUUUACAGAAGAAUAAAGCUUCAUAACUUUUGAACAAAACUCAAAUUUACAAAAGAAACGAACCAGAAAUUAACAGAACAAGACGGAAAAAAGAAAAAGAGAUUUUGGGGGGAGUGUUGAGGGGCGGGAUUGGGAUUAAGUUGUUCAUGUUCAUAGACUUUGGGCUUGACAACGCAAAGAAACCCUACCGUGGAAAGUCGAAUUGCCACUCCCCUCGAUUUUCAGCCAGUUUAAUCUGUAGUCUGUACUUAAUGUGCAUGGGUGACGUGGCAAAUUUUCGACCUCUUUCUCUGUUCACAUUAUGCUUCUACAUGUUAUGUUAUGUUAUCUUUAGUUUAAUUCAGUGUGUGUGUAUUUUUUUGUUGUGUCACAGUCGUAAUUAAAUUUGUGUUGACUCCCCAAACCUUCACAGUUAUCUUCUGAGAUAAGUGUGGAAUAUUUGAAUAAAAAAAACAUUGUAACAAUGGGAUGGAAUGAGUGUGUAAUUUCUAGAAUUAAUUUUGUUCUAUGCAUCUCUAUUAUUAAUUCUUCAGAUUGUUAUUGCAAAAAAAUAAUAAUAAUAAUAAAAGAAAAAAGAAAAGUUAUCCACAACUUGUAGAAACUUUAGAGCAUAAAUAUCAUAAACAGUUAUGCAUCAUUUUUCAAUUUCAAGUAGCUUAGUACAAUUUCGCCUUUGAGUUUUUGACUUACUCUACUGUCUCACUGACCCUUUUUUGAUAAUUUUCAUACGUUCUAUUCCUCGUGAAAUCUUUUUCAUUUUUGAUGCCCCAUCUUCUUCACCUGUUUAAAGAUGAGAAACGGAAAUUUUAAAAACACAACUAUUAGACAUUAUAGAAACAAAUCCAAACAUGAUCCAACACCUACAAUUUGAUCCACUCUUCUUCACCAAGGAGGCUAAACAUCGACCUGGUAACACUGUGCAUAUUUUCAAAACUAAAACUUUUCUACCAAACCAGCCUUUCGCAGUCUCCCCAAAAAGUGUACAUUAAAACAAUAUAAGUACACAUAAACGAUACAACCAUAUUGGAAUGGACCAAAUGGUAUAUAUGGCCAGAAUAUUGUUCUACUAACUACUAAAUUCCUAUAUAGGAGACUCAGCAUUCUUACUAUGAUUUACUUUUUAAUCAGAUGAUCAAACAGGAAGCCGACGGGAUCUGUCUGUAAUGUCGUCUUCUGCGUUCCACAACAGUUGACCAGAAACAAGCCUUGUAAAUCCUGGUGAUGUUCUUUGCUGCCGCUGCUGCCGCUGCUGCCGCUGCUGACGGCGAAGUAGAGGAGUAACUGCUUGCCACCAGUUCCAGAUCGUUCGAAUUAGGAAUCCAGGCAAGUAACUGAGUGUGUAUAAAACGGCUUGGGUAAACAGCAGGAAGCUGAGCCACUCAGGGAAAAGGAUUGAUAAUAAACAGGCCACGGAUAGGGCACUAAAGAAUGCCAUGGUAAUACUGAAAAAGUAGUUGGCCGUAUGAUGAUUUUCAGAGACUCUUAGUCUCAGCUUGAUAUCAUGUGAUAAACAAUACAUGAGCAAACUUCCGAUGGCCAACAAGGUUGUUUUCGGAUGGGUUUCGAAAGGUGACUCGGGUUUUUUGUGAUACAUGAUCUGGAGAAAGGUGAGCAAAGUUGCGAUGAUGAAGCCAAAAAUAACCUGCUGGGAAGAGACCAAGUCAGGCAAUUCUGGAAAAUAAUAGCAUCUGAAAGACCAAAUGAUGCAAUUGUGGAAACUAAUAACCUGCUGGAGGAAGUUUGUGUUUGCAGCCAACGCCAUUUGCUAGCACUCAAGUCACUUAGAGAAAAGGAAACUUUGUAGCUAAACAAAGAUAGAAAGAAAGAAAGAAGAACGCCCUUUUGGUUUUGGCUCACUUAGGGUUAGGGUUGCCUUUUUAUUGUGAAGCAAAAAGAUUAAAAAAUGAAAAUGGCACGCUUGUGGACUUUGGUGGACAAUAAUAGAUGAACUUCUAGAUGGGUUCAGUUCAUUUAUUUGUGUGGAAUGCGGCUCCAAAUCCGGUCAAAAUGAUUCCACUUAAAUUUAAAAAUUUAUAUGAUACAAAAAUACUUUACAAUAAUAUGACCAUCAUCAUCUAUCUAAAUAAUUCCAUUUAUGUUUUCAACUCCACCUCCUGCGUAGGCAUUCAUCUGGAUCGGUGAUGAUUCAUCAGACUAUCCUUUGAACUCUUUAGGUCCCUCUUCCCCUAAUAAAGAGUAGAAGUAGGUGUAAAAUAGAAUCUCUCAUGCUACUAAGAAAAAAAAAGUAUAAUAGUUGCAAAUAAUUUCAGAUUCUUGCACAUUUGAGACACUGCAUCUUCAACAUUUCUGAUUUCCAAGAAAUUUUACCCCCCAAAAGUUAAUUAUGAUCACCUUUCCACUCAAUCGCUAACACCAUUUUUCAAAGUCGGAUUGAAAUGUUGCACUUGAUCCAUUGUAAGUUGGAGUGGACUGGCGAAAUGCAACAGCAUCCAACUCAAAAUAUAUUUGCACGUUGGAUAGAAACUAGAAGUAUAUCUUCCCUGAGCUGAAAUAGUAUCUGACGUUUGACUGCUAUUAAUAUGUCCCUUCUGUAUCUUAUUCCACAUUAAUUACUCAUGCUACCAUAUAUUUGAUGUCUGCAUCGGCCAGAACAUUAAAACAGCACCACUUCAACAGAGGGGAGUUACGUACAUAGAUCACUGGAAUACAUGAUAAGUAAGCAGUGCUCGACUUUGCAAGCUACCAUCCAUCCAUCCCAACUUGGCAUACUUGCGGGGAUCCCCUUAUGUUGGCCUUGUCGGUUUCCUGAUGUCAAAAAGCAGCAGCCUUUUAAGAAGCCCUCAUGUGCCCAAAAACCCACAACGGCCUAUCAAAAUCAGGGGAAGUAAAUAUAAUCCGAUAAUACUUGAUCCAGCAUCGUUGAAUAUUUUGCAGUAACACAGAAAUUCAACAUCGUUGAAUAUUUUACACAAUGUAGCAUUAUCUUUCUACCAAUCAUGCUCUAGACAUCAUCUCAUUAGAGUAUUGGAAAAUACAUCAAGCCUGGUAAGGCAAAAAUUAAGGAUUAAUUGCACUGUACGUUCUUAAAAAAAAAAAAUCUCGUCUAAAUCUAAUUUUGACAUCGAUCUCUAAUUCUUUAAUUCUGCUCGCCACUCGAAUCAUCUCUCUUCGUCACCUUCUUCCACCCCCCUCCAAAAAAAAAAAAGAAAAGAAAAAAACCAAUGCGUUCAUCUUUUAUUUAUUUAUUUUUUUUAGGUUCAUCUCAUCCCAUGAAUAUGUCUAUUCAUCAUUAUCCUAUAUUUGCAAGCAAAGAAGCCGAAAAUUUUGACUGGCUGUAGCCCAAGACCUUCUCUUUCUCAUUGUAAGCCAAAGACCUUCUCAAGGCACCAGAACUCGUUGAUUACAUGCAUCCUAUUUUCCUCCUCAUAUGCCAUUUGAAAUCCCAAGGCUCAUCUAAUCUUUUAUAUUUAUAUUUAUUUUUAUUUUAUUUUAUUUUUUAAGGUUCAUAUCAUCUCAUGAAUGUGUUAUUUAUCAUUAUACUCUAUUCACAAUCCAAGAAGCGGAAUAAAUGCCACAAAGCAUACUAAUUGUUAUGCAGACUAGGCUUCAUCCUCAAAAUUAAAGUGCUUUUUUUUUUUUUAUAGAAUUGUAAACAAAUUAAUCAAGUUUAAGGUAUCAUAUUUGCACAAGAAGCAUCCAUAGGACCUUAGGGUCGGCUCCCCAACGUGAAUUGUGGGAGCCCGCGUUGACACCUUGUGUUGCCAUCUCACUGACUCUCAGUCCUUUUUAUUCUUAGCUACCAAGAAUACUAAAAGAGUCCUAUUUUUUUGGGUUUUUAUAAAAAUAUAUAUAUAUAUAUAUAUAUAUUAUAAUGAUGUUAGCAUGAUGUCAGCGGAAUAACGAAAUGGGAGCAUGUUAAACAUGUACGGCAAGUUUCCAUGCUUUUUUUUUUAUUUUUUAUUUUUUGGGGAAAUCUAUGGUUUUACUUUUACCUGUACGUGCAAAUAAAUUUAAGUUACUUGUUCAUAAAAUUACAAACAUCAUUAAUGAAAAGGUGAAAAAUGACGAAAACUUUCGAGUGUAUAGACUUGCUUUUGAGCUAUAUAAUCAAAUUCUUGGUGCUGUUAAAUAACUCAUUGGAUAUUUGCAUAAUUUCAAAUCACCCAUCCAUUUGCCCCUCAUGAAUAGUCCGACUGAUUCCGUAGUUUAGUAGUUACUAGUAGAUCCGGUGAUCGAUUCCUAUGCGAUUCAAAACUAAAAUUACUAAUUAGGAAGUACAUGAUUGAUCAUCUUAUCAAUCACCUGAUCAAAAGUUUAAGCUUGGAAUACUAAUUAUCAGAUCCUGAAGUCUAAUCUAGUAAAGCGCACUAAAUAAGCAUCAAAUUAACUCCUAAAUGAGGACAUGCAAAAGGGCAUUGUGAAGAAUAUCGCAAAACUCCUAAACUAAGAAGAGCAUGUAGUAUAAUGUCAUUUUUUGUCCUGUUCUUAGAGCGUACUGUUCUUUCUACCAAUCAUGCUUUUUUAACCCGUUUUUUUUGACCGAUCAUCCCGUCUAGCUCUAAUUUGACAUCUCUAAUUCUAGAAUUCUGCUAGCCACCUGAAUCAUAUCGCUCCGUCACCUUCUUUCACGCCCCUCCCUUCCAGAAAAAACCAAAAAAAAAAAAAAAACAAUGCAUUCAUCUUUUUUUUUUUUUUUUUUUAGGUUUUUCUCAUCCCAUGAAUGUGGUCAUUUAUCAUUAUCCUAUGUUUUCAUGCAAAGAAGCCGAAUAAAUUUGACUGGCUGUAGCCCAAGACCUUCUCUUUCUCAUUGUAAGCCAAAGACGUUCUCAAGGCACAAGAACUCGUUGAUUACAUGUAUCCUAUUUUCCUCAUAUACCAACUGAAAUCCCAAAAUUCAUCUAAUCUUUUGUAUUUAAAUUUAAAUUUUUUAUUUUUUUUUUAAGGUUCAUCUCAUCUCAUGAACGUGUUCAUUUAUCAUUAUACUAUAUUCACAUUUCUGUAAAUCAGGAAAUUAUCAAAGGUCCCUUCUAGAUUCUCAACUUUUUCUACCCAUCCUUUUCUUUGACCGAACACAUUUUGAAUUUUCUUGUUCCUUAUUUGAGUCCAAUGGUAACCACUAAUUUUUUUUUAUUUUUGCUUAAAAAAUCAUAAGCAAUUAAAGCAGGCAAAAAUUCAUGGAUAUUUGAUCAAAAUGGACUGUAUAUGGACUGGGUUGCAAAUUUUAAUGUGUUUGUUGCACAAAAAGAAAAAUCUCUAAUCAAAUAUAGCCACAAGAAAUUAUGUAUGUAGUAUAAAGUCUUAUAUUGAAAAAGAAAAAGAAACGUAAAUACGUUAUUGGUGAAAUACUUUUUGUUUUGUAUUAGUGGCUUGAUACAAAUAGUUUGUGCAUUGAACCUCCUCGAUAAUCUCCCUUUAUUGUUUUCCAUUAGGCAAAUUUUUUAUUUAUUGUUGAAAUCUUUUGUAUCGACAAUGAACCAACCCCUUUCCAUAGUCGUUAAAAGCUUUAAUAACUAUCAUACCAAAUAACCUUAUUAGGAAUAAUAUACUCACUUACACAUACAAUAGUGCAUUUUUGCCCAUGUGUAGUUAGGAAACUCUAGCUUAUUUUUGUACUUUUGAGUUCUAUGGUCUAAGUUUCAACUGUAAGCAUUAUGUCUGAAUUAUUACACCCCUAUUAAGAAAGACAAACAAAAAACACAAGAAAUUACAACCCAAAAUCUCAAAAAUUGAAAAUUGUGCAUUAUGGGCAUUAUGGGCAUAAGAAAAAUAAAAUAACUAUGCAAAAUCUGCCAAUUGUAGCAAUUCUUGCUCUUUAAUCUUGUUAAGAAAAUUGUGCUGGACGAUUUCCAAUAGUUUUAUUAAUAAAAUUUUCUUAUUCAUACAAAAAAAAAAUCAAAGGGUAGUUUCACAAAAAAAAAAAAAGAAAAGACAAGCAUACUGAAUGAUUAAGUCGUACAUGGUGGCAUAUUUCAUUUACUUUCAAGUAACGAUGUAUAUUUUAAAAUUGAUCACAUUUUGAAUAAUUGUGCAUUUUGCUUUCACGUGAAACUCAUACAUUAGCCGACCAUAAGUAAAUUAAGACGAGUGAUCUUGUUAAGAUGAAUCUGAUAAAUAUUAGCAGCAUCUUUAAUAGUAAGAAGUAUUUUACUUUAACUCUAUCUUUUGCUUGCUUCAAUGACUUUGAUCCGAUUAAUUCUAUUUGCUAGUAAAAAAUGCCUCAAAGUGUACUAAUUGUUAUGCAGACUAAGCUUCAUCCUCAAAAUUAAAGUGCUUUUUCUUUUAAUAGAAUUGUAAACAAAUUAAUCAAGUUUAAGGUAUCAUAUUUGCACAAAGAAGCAUCCAUAGGACCUUAGGGUCAGCUCCCCAACGUGAAUUAUGGGAGCCCACGUUGACAUCUUGUGUUGCCAUCUCACUGACUCUCAGUCCUUUUUAUUCUUAGCUACUAAGAAUACUAAAAGAGUCCUAUUUUUUUGGGUUUUUAUAAAAAAUAUAUAUAUUAUAAUGAUGUUAGCAUCAUGUAAGCGGAAUGACGAACAUGGGAGUAUGUCAAACAUGUACGGCAAGUUUCCUUUUUUUUUUUUUGAGGAAAGCUAUGGUUUUACUUUUACCUGUGCAAAUAAAUUUAAGUUACUUGUUCAUAAAAUUACAGAUAUCAUUAAUGAAAAGGUUUAAAAUGAUGAAAAUCUUCGGGUGUAUAGAAUUGCUUUUGAGUAAUAUAAUCAAAUUCUUGGUGCUGUUAAAUAACUCAUUGGAUAUUUUCAUAAUUUCAAAUCACCCAUCCAUUUGCCCACCACCGGUAGUCUAACUGGUUCCGGAGGUUGGUAGUUACCAGUAGGUUUCGUGAUUGACUCCCGUAUGUUAUUUCGUUGUGUAUUUUUAGGGCAAGACUUUACACAAUUUUAGAAGAUUAGUCUGAUCGAAAGGUGGAAAUACCCUUUAAUGAAAAAAAAAAGAAAAAAACCACCCACCCAUUUGGGUGGAAGCAACCCAUCAAGAGUUGGGCCAAAACUAAAAUCUCCUCUAAUCACUAGUGUUUUUAAAAGUGGACCGCUCAUUAAACCAGCGGAGUUGCCUGUUCUUGGUCAAUUUUCCCGGUGUUCGACCAGCCAGGUCACCAAUUCUCUGCUACUUUAUUUCAGAAUAAUAAUAUCUAUUUUUUAUUUAAAAAUAAUAAUAUUAGGAAAGUACAUAUAAAGAUACUACAAAAAAAAAUCUUAAAAUUGUAUGAAGUUGUGGACAAAGUCAGGAAAUUGUAUAAAGGAGAAGAGAGAACACAAUUCAUAUAAAAGUUUAGAAAACAUUUCACCCGCAAAAAUUGUGUACAGGAAUUAAUAUAUAUAUAUAUAUAUUCACACAUACACACACAAACGAAAUUUAAUUAUUCCUAAAUUUAAAAACAAAACAAAGAGUACAGAAAAAAAAAGAGAAGAAGUACAACUAUGAAAAAAAGAAAAAUUUAUUUUCUCGAAUAGAAAUGAACUUAUUAAAACAUCAUAAUCAAUCAUUUCAUAAAAACAUUACUAAUCACCAGCAAAAAGGAAUAAAAAAGACAAGGACUGAGUUGUUUUCGCCCACUGAAUCAAACGAGUUGGUCUUAAGCUUCGAACAUUUUCUAAAACGAUUCCUUUUCUUCUUCAAAACUCGGAUAUAAUUAUGGGAAAGAUUACUUAGGUUCUCCUAUUAGAAUAAUAACCGAAAUGUAGAAUUUAAUCUAAAUGCUCAAAGAGCUGAAUGUAACAGUGAAACUCAUAGUCCGGUUUCACCGUGCCUAGUAAGUCCCAUAGUCCGGUUUCACCGUGAAAUUGGGCAUAGUGGAGGGUAACAUUUUGUCAUUUGAGGCACACAUUCAAUUGAAGUUAGGCACCGAUUGGCUAACUUUUCUCUAGAAGCUUUAUUGUCACUUCCGUUCUAGAAUUCUCUAAAGAUCAUACGCAACCACUCUACUUCAUCUCUCAGUCACUCUCACAGAUCAAACAACAAAGGGGUUUUAAAUUUCCUCAUUAGCUUUUAUACAUCCUCUUGGGGUUAAUUUUCUUGUCUUUUGCAGACAAGGCAGUUGGAUAUAGUGAUCAUGUUUCAAAGAAUUGUCUCCUUUUGAAAAAAUGGAUGGUGGGGUUCCAAUAUUUUUAGGGACCAGGGGGUUGUCAGAAUUUUUUUGUUUCUGCCUUGUCAAUCGGGUUCAUUUGGUCUGCUCAAUCCAAAUUACAUGUGAAAUUGGCCGUUAAACAAAAUAGGGUAAAAUGUUUCAGUAGUUCUUAAACUAUCACAAAGUUCGAUUUUGAUUGUUCAAUUAUUAACUGAAAAGUUUUAAUCCUCCAUCUAAUUAAAAUAUAUACUCGUAUUCUUUUUUUUUUAUCGAAACGAUAACUGUUGUAUAACCUGUUCUAUCCUACACUAAAGGGUAGAGGGAGUCUAAAGAGAUUUGUAUUGCGGACUAAUAGAUACACAAAUUUUACUAGAUCAAAAGGAUAAUCUGACAUCACUCUUAAAUUUUUUUUCGUUACAGAUAAUAUUUGAACCUCACCUAUAAUCCAAAAAAGAAUUUAAAUCUCACUUGGUGGCCACUGAGCUCUAGAGCCAAGCUCAGUGGUUAUAUAUACUUGUAUUCGUUCCGCCAACUUUAGUCGUUGUCAGCAAAUAUAGCAUCAGCCACAAGGUACGGGAAUAAGAGUCUGUUUGGUUGGAAGUAAAAUGUUUUCCUUGGGAAAAUAUUUUCCGUGGAAGUAAUUUUCCAUGAAAAUCAUUUCCCUUUCAUCAUUUUCAGGUGUUUGGUUAGUUUAUUGAAAAUAUUUUCUUACUUCAUUUUUCUGAUGUUUGUUUAACUUUUGAAAUAUUUUCACUUUUAUCUCUAUCUUUACUUUCUACACAUUAUAACUACAUACUUCUUCACAUGCAAAAUAAGAAAAUUUAUCUCAUUGUUUAACUUUAAAAAAAUCUUGGAGAAGUGUAUAUAUGAAUAAAAAAUAUCUCCUUAAGCAAUAAACAAAUUGCUGGUCAUUUAGUGUCAAAUAUCAAUCACAUGCAAUGCUUAUUGUGACAUAUAUUUUGCCCUCUCACUGCUGAAAGUUUCUCUAGAAAAGAAUGUUCCUAUUAUACAUAAUUAAUUACUAGCAUAGGAUGAGUAGGAUGAUAUUUUUUUUUAUUUUGAAUAUACUAGGGGGAGGGUUGGGUUGGGUUGGGUGGUAUGGGGGAGGGAGUGUAAGGAAGAGGUCUUGGGUUCGAGUCCUCCUGUUUACACUAAAAAAAAAAAAACAUACUAUAAGAUGUUUUCAGUAAGUUUGGAACAUACUACAGGCGGGAUGCAUGCAUUUAGGAAAACAACUUCAGUAAGUUUGGAAGGGAAGUUGUUUUCCAUAAGAUGAGUGAAAAUAUUUUACAUAGGAAAAUGUUUUCAGUAACUUUUGUGCAACCAAACACGGGAAAUUAGGAAAAUAUUUUCCUGGAAAACAUUUUCACCCGAAACAAACGGACCCUAAAUGAGGGGCUUUUUCUUCUGCACAGGAUAUGCAGAUCGGCUGGCGUGUGGAUCCUGUUGUUGCUGCUCUACUUCUUCCUCGGGAACUUGUCGGAAAAUGGGCCCCAUGACCUCUGACCUUACAGAAAUUGCCUUUCUCUCUCCUGUACACUAAAAUACAAUUCAUACACUAAAAUUCUUACAAAAUUACAGCAAAACAGCAGAAGAGAAAAAACAAAACACAAUAAUUACUAUUUCAGAUUCUUUUGCACUUGUUAAAGACCUAAAAUUUUGCCAAUUUCUGUUAAAACUAUGAUUGACGAGAACGAUAUUUUCAUUAAGCAGCUAAGUCACAGUAAUUGCUUACCGAUUUUUUAAAACCGGGAAUCCUUUUGAAGCUAUGGCUUUUCGAUGCACAAUAGAUUAAGAAGAAGAAAUAGUAGCCAGCAAAAAAGUUGGUCGGUCCUUGAAAUAUUAAGUUUGAACAUUUUUAGCAAUCUUAACUAUUAAUUGCAUCCAACUUCUAAAACCACGCACUUUUAAUUUUUCCAUAAGUUUUAACGGUUAGACCUAGCGGUCAAUGCCAUUGACUAUAAUGAUUGACAACCAUACAAGAACGAUAAGGUUGAGAUGAAAUGAAAUUAUACAUCUAGACUUUAUGUUUUUGUGUAGAUUCCAAAUUUAUGCUUGAUUUUCUAUGAAUCUUGCUAGAUGUGAGUAGAUUUAAAAAAAAGGAAGAAGAUAGUUUUACCACCAUUUUACAAUCCUUUAUAAUAUCUUUGGAAUCAUAUAUCAAAUAUUCAUUGGAAUAAGAAAGUUCAAAGCAGCAAGGAAUUUGGUACGAAAUUAUCUAAAUUUUCACAACAUAACUUUUCACUCUUGUGAUUAUUUCCAUGUCACUUCAAGGCCCAUUUUGUGUUAAAUUCUCUAAUAUUUUAUUCCACUGAAUUCCUUAUUUUGAUUUAUUUGGUCAUAUUUGCAUUGAAUUAAAAAAGCCUUUUUCUGAGGACUAUCUCUUUUCCUAUUUUAACUUAUCAUACCUUCGGUUUUUAGAUAUGGGAUUGAGUGUGAUGCAAUUUUUGUUGGCCUUAACAGCCCAAACAAACAGAGGCUGAGAAAUAUGUGCUUUUAGAAGUUAGAGGACCAAAAAAUAAAAAUAAUAACUCAUAAAAGUAUAUAAACAUAAUAGUUUGUGGACCAAGAAGAUAUUUUGUAGGUAAUGAGUCCAUCAUUACUAGCAAUAUAGGUUACCUCUUUAUUUACAAGGAUAGUAGUAGCAGUAGUAGUAACAGGCCAAGCUACCGCUAAUGUCUCCUCUAUUAUUAAUAUUGAAUGUGUAAAAGCGUCAAUGGACUUGGCUACAGAAAAAUCAUGCUAAUGUCUCCUCUACUACUAAUAUUGAAUAUGUAAAAGCGUCAAUGGACUUAGGUGCACAAAAAUCAUUGUACCUACUACAUUGGUUUUUAGGCCGUAUGAACAGAAAAUAUAAAUGGGUAGUUUGGUUCGUUUAUUCACCAUUUCAGUGCACUAAUAAACGGAUUGGAUAAAAUAUUGCCAACAUGUCUUCAUCGGAAGCCUUCAUUUUGGAAUAAUUUUAGAAACCUCCUCUGAGGCUUUUGACUAUUGCAAGAAGCUCUCCUCUAGUUUAAAAACUUACACCUAUCUCCCUUAUAAUUAGCAUUUCAGUAACAAUAUAGACCCAAUAAACUAAAUUUGUUUUCAAAAAUCCUAAAAUACCCCUUUGUUACCUAGAAGGGGGAAAACUCACUAAUAAAUUUCUUCCACGUUACAACUAUUGUAAGCGAUAUAAUCACUACCUUAAUGAAUUCAAUAAACCACUUCAGUUCAAUCCCCAUAUUCUCACAAAUUUCACAGCCUACCAUUGCUGUCCAAAUUCAAUCCAAAUGGCUGUAACCUUGCUGAUGCUAAAAUUAUCUAACCCACUAAGAAUACUUAUACGGAGCAACCAAAAGCAACACUAAAGACCACAUCCCAUGUCUCUAGGUAAAUCAGAUUGCAGCUUUUAUCCCAAAAUUCUUUUUUACACAAUUGGUAUAAUAAUGUAACCUUUCUCAAUCCAUGCUCCCUUUUUAGCUAUUACUUUUAUUUUCUUGUAUGUACUCUAUAUCACAGCCAUCUUUUGCACCUUUAUUUAGUUUGACAAUAAAUCCGAUCCAGUAACUUGUCAUUUGGCAAUUUCAAUUCAAUAAUACUUAUAAAAAAAAGGAAAACAAGAAAAGAGAGAGAAUCUAUUUCCAUAAUAAUGAGGAUUCGAGAUGUAUUAGAUAGUUGUGUAGAUGGCAGUUGCGAAAAAAUAGUAAAUUAUGAGAUGCGGGAGAAAAAAGGUAGGAGAAAGAGUCGGAGAGAGAUAAUAAGGGUUUAUUUUAUGUGGCAGCCGUUCCACAUGAUGUACAUAAGCAGCAUUAAACUUUUGCGGGUGAUUACUGACAUCAUAUGAGACUGAGUCUUUAAAACAUAUAUAACUUAGGCACGGCGAGAAUUAAGUUUGCUCUUUGCAUCAUUGGGAGUAAACUAUUCAGCAGAUUGUUACUGCAAAAAUAAAAAUAUCGAAGAAGAAAAGUUUCCCACCAAGAAAGAAAAAAAAAUGAAGAAGAAGAAAAAGAAGUUGUCCACAACUUUUAGUUUUUAGACAAUUCUAUGUUAUGUCACCAAAGAAAGACCAAUUUCUUGUUUCGUUCAGUCUUAUAAACUUACAACUUGCUUAUUAGGAAGUAAUGGAUGUCUAGUUGAACAGAAUGAUACAAAUACGUAUGACUUGCAAAACAUCCAAUAAUGCAUGAAAUGCAUAAACCCAUUGACAUCAUAGAAUAUGGGAUUCUCAGCCAUCAAGUAUUGGCUCAGUAGAUUUUAUUGCAACGAAUUGAAUAGUGAAAUAGUAAAUGAGACACUGCCAAAUACGUGCAUAACACAGUUGCAAACUAGUAUGGAGAAUGGGCUUUAAGGUACCCACCAUAAACCUUUCCUUGACUAAACAAGUAUCACGAAGUUUAACUAUUUACCAUAAGCCGAAAAUUCAUCAUAGAGUUUAGAAAAUAAGCCCCACAAGAAUGAGUUUGUGUCAUCUCAGUGAAGUAUGACUUUGAUUUUAAAUCAAACGAGAGAUAUAUGGUAAAAUAUAAAAUCAUAUAAGAUCAAAGUGCCAUACAUAUUAUAUUUAUAUAUUUUGAUCAUUUCAAUCAUUUUAGUUUUUAAAUUGUGAUAAUUUUGAUAUUUUCAUAAGUUUCGUUACGAAUGAUCAUUUCCGUCACUUUAGUACUUCAAUCCAACUAUGAGAAUAUUAUGUAUAAUUUUUAAAACUACAAGAAAGUUAUAUAAAAAUCAACUAUACCAUAAGGGUUGGGUAAUGUGUAAUUUACCCAUAAAGCAAAGAAGAUUAUUCUUCGCUUAUCUUAUUGCACAAUGAGGCAACCAUGGAGCCAGAGUUUCCGAAUUGUUGCAUGACGUCGAUCUGAAUUGUAGAAUCAUUGGCUCAUCGGGCAACAACGGAGAUACAAUGAAUGUUCUGUCAGACCAUAAUAGAAAUAUUUUUUAAAGUGAAAGAAAUGAUUAAAGAUUAGCUGAAGUGCUCAAGACAAGGACGUCACCACGCUGAUUCAGCAAAAAUGCGUCAGCAAUUCCUUUAUCAUGGGAGAAUGUGCGAAAAAUGCAAUCUCUCUCUCUCUCUCUCUUUUAGGUAAAAAACAAAAAAGUCUCAUGAUAAAGUUAAUAUAUAAAAAAGUUUCCUGUAGUUUCAAAACGUAGAAUACGAGAACUCAUGUUUUGAACUAAAUUGUAAAAGUGACGGAAUUCAUUAAAAUUAACGGAAAUGAACAAAAUGAUAAAAAUGCCUUGAUAUAAUUAAACAAAAGACAACUCAACAAUCAUGUAUAGGAUUUUUUUCUCAUUAUAAAAAACGGAUUUCUCUCUGUAGACGUAGGCUCAAUGAUGAAGUCGAACCACAUGAAAUAUUUUGUAUCAUUUAUCUUUCAUACUUGUGACUUGUUUGUCAUUAAAUUAUUGUGCCUUUGGUACGUCAAUAGUCAUGUGUUCUGCGCAUGGAUCCUAACAAAUUUUAUAAUGUGCUUAAAGAUGUAAUGAUCCAUAGAUUUUAAAAUUUCUGUAAUACGAGCAAUCAUGAUGUUUGUCUGCUUAUAUGGAAUUUUGAAGGGGAAAUAUGAAAGCAAAAAGAUGAAAUUAUUUAAAUGGAUUGAUUUGGGGUGGGAAAUGAGGGGGGGGGGAGAAACUAAUUAUUUAAAUGGAUUGUGUUUUUAUGUUUUUAUAAGAUCCUAUCUAAUAAACUUUACCAGUGAGUUACAGAUUACCAUCUAUUGUUAUGGCUGUUGCCUGCUAAUUUGCGUGUUCUUUGCUACUUAUGUAUAAAAUUGUUAUUAUAACCUAAUUUAGAUCACCCCCUCGGACUUUAAGACAAGCAUUCAAUGUACAUCACAAAAAGUAAAAGUAAAAGUGAAACUCUAGUCCGAUUUCACCGUGAAAUUUUGCCAUUUGAGGCACCGAUUGGCUAACUUUUCUCUAGAAGCUUUAUUGUCACUAUUCCGUUCUAGAAUUCUCUAAAGAUCAUACGCAACCACUCUACUUCAGUAACUCUCACAGAUCAAACAACAAAGGGGUUUUAAAUUUCCUCAUUAGCUUUUAUACAUCCUCUUGGGGUUAAUUUUCUUGUCUUUUGCAGACAAGGCAGUUGGAUAUAGUGAUCAUGUUCCAAAGAAUUGUCUCCUUUUGAAAAAAAUGGAUGGCGGCGUUCCAAUGUUUCAUGUGAACAGUCAGCAUAAGUUGUUGAUUGUUAUAUUUGAGGUUCCCGGAUCCAAAAUUUUUUUUUUGUUUCUGCCUUGUCAAUCGGGUUCAUUUGGUCUGUUCAAUCCAAAUUACAUGUGAAAUUGGCCGUUAAACAAAAUAGGGUAAAAUGUUUCGGUAGCUCUUAACUUAUCACAAAGUUCGAUUUUGACCGUUUAAUUAUUAACCGAACAGUUUUAAUCCUCCAACUAAUUAAAAUAUAUACUCGCAUUCCUUCCGCCAACUUUAGUCCUUGUCAACAAAAAUAGCAUCACGCACAAGGUAUCGGAAUAAUUGAGGGGCUUUUUCUUCUGCACAAGAUAUGCCGAACGACUGGCGUGCAGAUCCUGUUGUUGCUGCUCUACUUCUUCAACCUAUAUAGUAAAAGAGCGAAUGGAAUUGCUAAGAGUUGUGGUUGUUGUGCUGACGUGGCUGGAUUUUAUUCGCUGGCUGGUGGUCGUCACUCACGUGGGAGUCGCGUGCUUUUGCUGGGAGGAGAAGUGCAAUCCUUCUUCUUGUUGCCUGAGAGAAGAAAACUUGGACCUUUGGUUUUUGAGAAGGAACGUAUCUCUGUAUUGCCAGCUGAGUAAGCUUAUUAUGACGGUUGCUGAUAGUUUGAUUGAUGACAACUGUUGGGUGAUGGGCUCAAUGUGGGUUGGUAUGAUUUGACGAUAUUGCCCUUCUUUUAAAAAAGACAGAUGCACCGUUCUAUCUUGCUGAGCUCCUUCCUCUCUGCAAUUUGGUGUGAAGGAGCUUCAGCUCUGCUCUAGAGAGCUGCCGAAAAAACACUUUUUGCUCUCUCCUUUGAUUGACAAGACUGAAAGCCCUUUGUUUCUCCGAUGUAUGCAGAGGUUUCUAUGUUUCAGGUUCCGCUUCUCCCAGCUUUCGUCAUCAUGAUCCGCGGUAAUUGUGCCUCAUUUUCAUUGUUCUUUUCUGGCCCUCCAGCUGCUUGCUUCCUCAUUCUGAGCUGCUGCCUCGUUUCUUUUUUUCUGCUUUUUCUUUCCUUUGUAACAAUUGCUAUCUUGCUGCCUCCUUGCGUAAGCUUUAAUUCCGCUACUAUUGUUUGGAUUUAACUUCUCCUGAUUGUGUUCCCGUUUCCUGUCGUGCUUAUUUUGGUUUUUCCUCACCUGCAAUUUAUGCCAUCCUGAGCUGUUACUGUUGCGUUGCCUCUUUGCUUUGCUUUGGCGCUCGUUUUGCUUCUCAAGCUCCCUGCUUAAAUUUACCUUUCUGCCGCAGCCUUUCCCCCUGUGUUUUCCAUUUAUCCUCCUGCCAGUGGUUCUUGCAUCAGCCUUUUUUUUUUUUAAACUUUUUGUUCUGCUACUGUUACUACGUGCAGGUUAUCUUGCCCCCCUUCUGUUUUGUGAUUUCCCCCUUUUCCCCUAGCAUUUCUUAUAUUUUUCCCCACUAUACUCUCUGGUGCUUGUUGUCCUGUAUUUACUCUUUGAGUUUUCCAUUUUUCCUCCUGUCGUCAUUUCUUGCGUCGCUGUAUUUUUUUCCCCUUUUGUUUUGCUGCUGUUGCUACGUACAAGUUAUCUUGCCCCCCUUCUAUUUAGUGAUUUUCCCCUUUUCCCCUUGAAUUUCUUAUAUUUUUACCCACUUUGUUCUCUGAUGCUUGUUGUGCUGCAUUUACUUUUUGAUAUUAUAUUUUCUUACCCUUUUUGCUCUCACUGGCUUAUUCAGGUGUUGUCCUUUUCUGUGUUGCUCUGCUGUUGGGUAAUAAAGGCUUGUUAUCUAACGUUAAGGUGCCAUUACUUAUUCUCCCUUCUGUAUGUGCUUUUACCUUGCUCGUACCCAAUAAUCAUUUUGCUACAUGCUUUUGUUACCUCGCUUUUAGCUGUUGCCGCCUUUACUCAGCCUUUUAACUCCUGUUUUCUUAUCUGUUCUGUUCUAUGCUGUUGUGUAAGCUCUGUGCUUUAUCUUUUCUUCACUCUGUUUCUUUUUUAAUAUAUUGGCUGAAUUCUAUGGUGUUGUGUAAGGGCUGUACUUUAGCUUUUCUUUACUCUGUUUUGUUUUGAAUGUCUGCUCAGUUCCAUGCUGCUGUGUAAAGGCUGCGCUUGAGCUUUUCUUUCUCUAUUUUUGUUUGGGGAAACCGACGUUUGGUGCAUGCCUCUCUUAUGCCGUUUCUUUGUGUUUCAAUCUUGUUAGAACUUUGGCCUCCUUUAUGCUUAUUUAGUUAGUACUCUGGCCGUGUAUUAGUGGUGUACGUUAGCCUUUCUUUUCACCUGCUAGAGUCUAUAGCGGUCAGAUGGAUAGGAAUGCUUUGCGCCGCAAAAAAUAUGCAGAAAUGCCACCUCUGAAGAAAGCGGAACUUCUGCGUUCCCGAAGGCAAACUCGAGCUUCAAAGAAAGCUGGAAAAGCUUUACCCCCGCGUGUUCGCAGGGUCCCGUUAGGAUAUGUCGAAACUGGUGUGUCGUUCCCAGCUACUCAACAUAUGCCAUGUCAUAGUGAGGAUCCUGCGUUUGUGCAUUCUCAGCCGUUGGGAAACACAAAUGCUGUGUUUCCAGCUGAUGAUGCCUUUGCGAUUAGGGAAGGAUUAGAAUUCAUGUCGCGUUGUCCACCUGGUUCCUUUACUGGUUAUGCUUCCUCCUCCUUUGGAAAAGAAAUGCCUCUACAAAAUACACUUGCUCCUGAAGGUAUACCAGCUUUGUUUAACGUGCAAUCCCUUCAGCCAUUUAACUCCCACUCUGUAGCGCCAUUUAGCAUUAUUUGUCUUUCUUAGCUAUCGUUAUUUCCCUUGUAUCUCUCCAGUUACCACUCUCUUUCUUCUUAACUGUAGCACCCCUGUUCUGUGAUAGCCUUGCACCAGUGAAAUAUUAGAGAUCAUCUGUUGGUGUAGAGGCAAAAAAAAUCCCCGUUCAUGCCUUUGAUGCCCAGCUCAGUGAUGAGCCAGUUAGAGGAAAACAUAGGGGCGUAAACUCCCUUCCAAGUGGAAAUGAACAACCUGUGAGCAAUACACAUUCUGAAUUUAUACUAGGUUCAUUUCCUUUCGAUUCAUCUCUUAAGAACCCUGAACUAUCAAUUCAAAAAGAAUUUGCUUCUGCAAGUAAUUCUUUGCCUACUCAAAUUUCAGAUUCUACUUUAGAACUAGCUUCCAAAGGUACUGCCUUACUUUACCAUAUUCGUUAGCUUGCGAAUCUACUUAACCGCUUUGACCAGCCUAUAAAUACUAAAUAAUCACCUUUAUGGCCUGGUUUUCUGGAACCCUUCUUCCUUUGCUAACUGAUUCUCCUUUAAGGUCCUUAGGCCUGUUUUAGCUAGCUUAUUCUGUUCUGCAAUUUGCAGACAUCUUUCCUGCUCCCACAGAGGAGGUGGCCAGGUCUGGUCCAACACCUGGUUGGUUGGAGAUAAAAAACAGAAAAGUACUUCCUUCUGCCGGUCCAUCUGUUGUCCGUUCUCGCUCCAGAAAAUGCAGGACCCCUGAAUCUGUGAACAAACACAACUCAGGUUGGGAUUUGCUUCUGGUUUGCCUUUGCUAUUUCUUGCCUUAUAUUCAACUUUGUCUAGAUGACCAAUCAGAGCUAAUAAAGUUGUUCGUGCACGAAAUGAAACUGCAGCACAAAAACGAACAGCUGCGCGUUCAAGCAUAUCUCGCCUUGCCAAUAUUCCUCAAGCAGCUCUGGUUCUGCCUCAUGCUCCUGAUUGUGAGCAUUGUGACGCAAAAAGGUUCCAUUUGGAACCUCCUUCCUUUUGCUGCUCGGGAGGAGAGAUCUCUAUCGUUGCUCCUCCAAUGCCAUAUGAUUUGAAACGUUUAUUCAUUGCCAAUGAUGAAGAGAGUGCCCACUUCAGGAACAUUGUCCGCACUUAUAACAACAACCUUGGCUUUACAUCUUUUGCCGCAAACUAUGACUCUGAACUAACAAAGAACACGAAAGGCGUCUAUACUUUUCGCGUUCAAGGCCAAGUUUACCACUUUCUUGAUGGCCUUAUUCACUUAGGCGAAAGGCCAUCUGGGAUCCAAUUAUAUUUUUUUGACACUGAUGAGGAAUUAGCAAAGAGACUUGGUAACUCUGAUAAACUACGCGAAAGCACUUUAAAAUUGCUUAUGUACAUUCUUUCUAACAAUCCUUAUGCCCGGUUCUUUAAAGGCCUUAGAGAUGUUCCAAACCUUGAUGAUUUGAACAUUGUCCUUAGCUGUUAUCCUUCACUUGACCAGCGAAUAUAUAAUCUUCCCUCUGCCUCACAAGUUGCGGCUAUAUGGACUGAAAGUGACGAUCAGUCGUCCGAUAGCCGCGCUCAUAUUCAAGUUUAUUCUCGGUCAGUUGGUAGCCAUAGGAUUCAACAUUACUAUGGCUGCUAUGACCCUUUACAGUACCCUCUCCUUUUCCCUCGUGGUGAGUGUGGCUGGCACCACGGAAUUAAAAGACUUAGUAAAAGAAAAAGAGGAGGGGACGCAUGUGAAGAUGAUAUUAACAUCGAUCCAGCUUCAGUUAACUCCUCAUCGGAGUUAAUUGAUUUAGAACAGAGAGGCAAGUACAUUUCUCUCUUGUUAUAAACUGUUGAACCUAUCCAUUGUAUUACAUCACCUAAUCAUGUAGAUCGUAUUCCCCUUCUUUAUAGCUAUUGAUCGAGGCAAAACAGAGGAAGGUACUGUAUCUGCUAGGGAGUACUACUGUUAUAGGUUCCAAAUAAGGGACGAUGAUGAGUCAAUGCUGUUACACACUCUUAGGUUGCUGCAGCAGUUUUCAGUCGAUGCUUAUGUCAAGAUCGAAACAUGUAGGCUUGACUUUCAUAGGCAUCGACAAAACAAGAUACGCUCUGAAAUUCUGCAAGGAAUUCUUGACAGUGUUUCUGUUGGCCAAACCGCUGCUUCUAAAGUUGGUCGUAAGGUCAUUCUUCCAGCUUCUUUUAUAGGUGGUCCGAGGGAUAUGAGGCACCGUUACCUUGAUGCGAUGGCCCUGGUACAGAAAUAUGGAAAACCCGACAUUUUUCUUACAAUGACGUGUAAUCCAGCAUGGAAGGAAAUUCAGGAAAAUCUGAAAUACCAUGAAAAGCCUCAGGAUCGGCCAGACCUGCUCGCUAGAGUUUUUAGAGCCAAAUUUGAAAUGCUUAAAGCAGAAAUUCUAAAUAAGCAGAUCUUUGGCGAGGUUGCAGCGUGUGUUUACGUGAUCGAAUUCCAGAAACGAGGCUUUCCUCAUGCCCAUUUAUUAUUGAUCUUAAAACCUGGUCAUAAGCUACUUAAUCCAGAGUCGUAUGACAAAAUAGUCUGUGCUGAGUUGCCCGACAAAGAUCAAUAUCCUCACUUGUAUUCUCUUGUUGUGAAGCAUAUGAUCCAUGGCCCUUGCGGAGCAAUGGAUAAGUCUUGUCCUUGUAUGAGAGAUGGAGCCUGCAAAAAUCACUAUCCAAAGAGCUUUUGUGCUCAAACGACUCACGGUGAGGAUACCUAUCCAUAUUAUAGGAGGAGAGAUGAUGGCAAGAAAGUCAAAGUUCGUAGAUUUACUCUUGAUAAUAGGUGGGUUGUGCCUUACAACCCUUACCUGCUUGCUUUAUUCGAUUGCCACAUCAACGUGGAAAUUUGUUGAUAAGAGUUUAUUUUACGUAUUUUUUGUGUGUUUUAUUAGUUAAUUUUGGUUUGAUUAUUUAGUUUAAUAACUAAAAUAACUAAGGUUUUGGUAAAAAAACUACAUUUUAUGUUAAAAUGGCUAAACAUUGCAUUUUAUGGAUUUUUAUGGUAAAAACUUCAUAUUUUGUAGGUUUAAUGAUUCAAUCAUCAAAUGAAGUGCAUUGAGAAGAUAUUUGGAUGAUUGAAGAUGGAUUAAAGUGGGGAAAAUAAAAUAUGAAGUGUAAAAAGGAAAAUGCAAUUUGAAUCAAGAAAAGUCAGGUUUUGACAACUCUGACACGUUUUGGUAUUUUGACUAUAUCUGGAGCUACACAGAUCGGAUCAAGGUGAUCUUGGUACCAUUUUGAAGCUAAGAGAUAUAUCUACAUUUGGUAUGAAAACAUCAAAAUCCAGUUCAGCCUUUAUGAUAGAGAAAAUCGCAGCUGAAGUAAGGACAAAGUGAAUACGCGAGUACACAAAACGUGACUUGUAACCGCGUUUUGUGUAGGUGCGUUUUCCGGCCGCAAUUCUGCAAUUUUGCUCAGUCAAUUCUCUUGUGUUCUGACUACUUUCCAGCUACAAUUUGCAAGAGAAUUCGGUGCACAUGCUUUAGAAGACAAAAGGGCAAGAAAGUUGGCAUAUUUUCAAGUCAAAAACAAUGGCUAUUGACUAUCUUAACAAUUUCAGAUUUGGAAAUCAAAUGCAGCAAGUUUGGACCAAUGGAAAAGGAGCUUUUGGAGCAGUUUAUAUAGGGAGCAACCAGGACAUGCAGAGCAUACGGGAGAAGCUUGGAAGUGCAGAAAUGUAGUUUUUCCAUUCUCUUAGUAUUAGAUUAGUGUAGUAUAGUUUAGCUAGUUAGUUCAUCCACUCUUGUACAUUAUCUAGAUUAGGAUGAAAAUGGAGAUGAAGAAGGCAAGGUGAUGAGCUCAAGUGACAUGGGUUACAUUCCUUUCCAACUCUUUAUCUUUUGUAUUUGAUUCCAAGUUUAGCUAAUAUACAAGUUCUGGAUUUUAUAUUUAAUAUGUGUUUUUAAAGUUUAUACCUUGGGUUUGGUUGAACUUCCUAUAAUUGUUAGUAUUUAUUAUUUGGUUAUUUGUUUGCUAGUAUUUGAGCAAGUUAUUUAGCACUUUGGCUCUUGAAAUCAUGAUUAAUCUGGUACCAUUAAUUCUGAUUAUCUAAGGUGUUAUUUUUGCAAUGAAAAUUGAGACUUAACACUAGUUCAAGAAGUGCUAAACAUAGGGAGUACACUCACGAAAGUAGAGGUGCACCUAUGUGGUUUUUAGUGAUUCAUUUCAUGUAAUUUUACUGAAGAAAUGAACUUGUAGCUAAUUUCAUAACCAUGAGAAUAGGUAUGGAUUAGUUAUAAGUAUAAUUGAUUCACUACGAAAGUAGGAUUCAAAUGUAUUAGGAAAUUACACCAUAAUUAGCCUAGAUGUAGUAUUCAAUGAUCCAAAUAUAACACUUGCAUGAGUAGUUAGGGAUACCACAACCUAAGGAGCUUUUAUUUGUUAAUUUCUUGUAUAAGUGCAGUAGGUUAAAUUUCUUAUUAUUCAUUGAUAGUCUAAAUAAUAGAGAAGCUUUAGUAAUACCGGUAAUUGUUCACUCUUCCUUGUGGGAUCGACCCGAUAUAUACCCUAAACUACUAGUUGAUCUGUAUACUUGCAGUGAACGGGUGUAAUUCGGUAUUUUUUAGCUUGCAUGUAUGUAAAAUACCCGUCAAGUUUUUGGCGCCGUUGCCGGGGAAGAUUUGGCAAUAUCGGUGUGAAGAGCAACUUUAUUAAUUUAGACAAUUUUUCUUAUUUUUGUUGUUUUUGUUGUAUCUUGUGUGUUUUAUGUCAUUUUUUUGAGUCAAUUUUUAUUAUUAUUAUUAUUUUUUUUCUGUUUUAGUUUGUGUCUUGGAAUCUAUCCUUCUUAACUGAUCUUACUUUUGAGAUUGUUUAAAAGUAAUUUUAGAUAAUGAGGAGGGUAGGUGAAUUGGGAGGACAAAGCUUGAGAAAUGAAAGAUUGGCAAUGGAUGGUUACCAAGUGCAAAACUCCUUCAACAGAGGUAACCAAGAAAUUACUGAAGGUAUGUCUUUUGAAGAUGGUUUGAAGUGCUUAAAGGCAAAAUUUGAUGUUAUGAUGGACACAAUUAUGCAUGAAAUUGAGCAAGGGAGGAAUGUUAAUGAUUUUAAUUCUUAUCAUGUGAUUUGUGACUUGUGUGGAGAUUAUCAUGCUACUAAUACAUGUAUGCAAGCACAAAAUGUGGAUUAUUAUGAUGAAUUAGAGCAUUACAAUCCUUGUUUUGAUCGAUAUAGUGCUAAUGCUUAUGGUUGGGAUAAUCAUGGUACUUAUAGUGAUUCUUCAUAUUUUUAUAAUUACCAACCUGAAUGUGUCCAAUAUGAAUCAAAACCAUCUUGGGAGUUAGCUAUAGAAAAAUUAGCUAAUGUGACUUCCGACCGUUUUGAUAGGAUUGAAAAAAGAAUAGAUGAAUUAACUUCUCACUUUGGCAGAAUAAAUGAGCAAUUGAGUGUAUUGUGUGAAGUUAUUUCUUCUAAUAAUUUGCAAAAUGAUCCUAGCAUGAAUGGUGGAAAUGUUGUAUGUGAAAAUGGAUUGCAUUUGGAUGAAAAUGAUGAAUCUCAAUUAUAUUUCAAUGAGCAAAUAUCCAUUUCACAUGAUAAUACCUUUGAAACUAACUUUGAGCCUCAAGAGGUGAGUUUUAAUGACUCAUUUUUCACCCCUCUUGAGGAGUGCAGUGAAAGUAUAUGUUUUAAAGGUAUUGCUGUCCAAGAUACUCUUAUGACAUUUUCUUUGGUGAAUUCUCAAGUGGUGCAUAUUCAAGGUAAUAUUUAUGAAACACUUGGGAUAGGUAAGUCAAUUCCAUUUCUCACAUCAUUAGAUCAUGUGACUUUUGCGAUAAAGCCACCUUUUAAUGAUCCACCACGGCCUAAAAUGGUGGAUUAUUCGUUAACUAAACCUCCUUGAAAAAUAAGGUGAACUAGUCAAGCUAUUGACUAUAAAGAAACGCUUAUUGGGAGGCAACCCAAUGUUUGUUUAAGUUUAUGUUAUUUUGGGGUGAUUUUAUGUUUAAAGUAUAUGUUUGAGUUAUUUUGUUAUUUUUCAUUUGUAGGUAUUGGAAAUGGAAGCAAAAGUGACCAAAUGAGGUGAAAAAGGCGAAAUUUGAUCAAGGAACUCAACCCCUCAAUUUGAGUAAUUGUUGUUUUUGAUUUGUUAGAAGGGGUUAAAAUGCAUAUUUUGAUCAUUUUACAUGUGCAUGCAUUGAUAAUUUUAGCAAACAAAUGAUCUAUGAUGCAUUUUGAGUGAUUGGGGUACAAAUGGUAAUUUUUCAAAGUUGGCUUUCUGCAAAAAUUUCGCAGAAGAAAACGCAUUUGGGCUGAAAACGCGCCUUAGAAUCGCGUUUUCCAUAAUCGCGUUUUCGAUUCUGCGCCUAUACUGAAGAAAACGCGCCUUCAAAACGCGACAGGAAGUCGCGUUUUCUACCAAGUCGCGUUUUCCAGCCUGAUCAAAAAUUGAAAACGCGACUUCAAAUACGCGACUUAAAGUCGCGUUUUAUAACACAGUCGCGUUUUCGAUCCUGCAAGAUAUGUGAAGAAACGCGACUUCAUAAAACGCGGCUUGGUGGCGCGUUUUGAUGAGUCGCGUUUUCGGAGAAAAAAAAAUGCAGAUUCCUUGAUUCUCUUUUUUCUUCUUUUCCUGUACCUUGAGUUGCUUAUUGUAUAUUGUAUAUAGGUACAUCACCAAAACAAAGGUUUGAAAUUACGGAUCGCCGUUUUGUUUUAUUAAGCCUUUGUUAUCACUUUUGUUUCUUAUUUUUCAUUUUUAGGAUUACAUCACUAAUGGUUAUCCAAUGAAACUCAUGAAGCGUUGGAGAUACACGGACAAUGGAUUUUGAAGCUUCAUAUUCAAUCACAUCAUAGGGGAGUAUUACUUUCUUUAUCUUGAUUUUCCUUUUUACACAUUGAGGACAAUGUGUAUGUUAAGUGUGGGGGGAGAAUUGAGAUUAUAUAUAUUGUAUGUGAUUGAAUUAUUAGUUGCAAAUAUUGGACUUGUGUUAAAAUUCAAAUUUUUUCUAAAAUCUUGUCCAAAAUUGCAAACUUGCCCCAAAAAGUUUCAUAUUUUUUCAAUUUUAUCCAAGGGGUAACAAGUUUCAUACUAUUAGUAGUUCAAAUUCCUUCUACAUUUGAGAUAAAUAUAUGUGAUUUGGAAACUUCUUUUCUCAUUUAACUUGGAAAUGACUAUUAUGUGAUUAUAAUUUUUGCAUUUGUAGGAAAGUAUAUCUUUUAAAGUGGAGAAAAUUAUGCCUAUAUUUUUUUGCAUAUUUGAUGAAAUUUCUUCUCUUUCUUGGAUUUUAUAAGUUAAGUGAUAAAUAUGGUCAAGAGGUGCAAUACUCUUCUCAUGAUUAUUCUUUUGAGGAAUUUAUGUUAAAAAAAAAAAAAGAAAAAAAAAGAAAAAAAAAGAGAAAAAAGAAAAUAAAUAAAAAUUCUUCUACUCCAAUGAUUCUUGUACUUAGUAACCGGGAGUCUUCAUCUACAAAUGUCGACUUUCGCGUAAAACGGUACUUGAAUUAAGAGUAUGCAAAGCAACUUGAGUAUGUGAAGUGUUGAGUAACCGGUGAUCUUCAUCUAAAAAUGUCGAUUCUCGCGUCAAAAGACACUGUCACAACUUAAGUAAUAUUUAGCUACGUUAUAUGAAUAAAUAUCUGUUUAAGUAGAAUAAGAAAUGAUCAUGAGUUUAGGAAGCAUAUUAUUGACCAUAUGAGUUACUUGCGUAUGAAAUUAAGUAAGAAUGAGAAAUUGAAUUAAACUUGUUAUAAUGACGGUAUAAUUGGCUCUCCUUUACUUGAUAUUAUGAGUACUUGAACUUAAUUGAAUAAUUGCAUAAUGGUUAUUUACUUUGUUUUGAGGAAAUGAAGUUGAAAUGCUACAUAUGUUUAUUUUCAAAUCAUUGUUGGUUUGUAUUUCUUAUUGCUUGAGGACAAGCAAUGGUUCAAGUGUGGGGGUAUUUGAUAAGAGUUUAUUUUACGUAUUUUUUGUGUGUUUUAUUAGUUAAUUUUGGUUUGAUUAUUUAGUUUAAUAACUAAAAUAACUAAGGUUUUGGUAAAAAAACUACAUUUUAUGUUAAAAUGGCUAAACAUUGCAUUUUAUGGAUUUUUAUGGUAAAAACUUCAUAUUUUGUAGGUUUAAUGACUCAAUCAUCAAAUGAAGUGCAUUGAGAAGAUAUUUGGAUGAUUGAAGAUGGAUUAAAGUGGUGAAAAUAAAAUAUGAAGUGUAAAAAGGAAAAAUGCAAUUUGAAUCAAGAAAAGUCAGGUUUUGACAACUCUGACACGUUUUGGUAUUUUGACUAUAUCUGGAGCUACACAGAUCGGAUCAAGGUGAUCUUGGUACCAUUUUGAAGCUAAGAGAUAUAUCUACAUUUGGUAUGAGACAUCAAAAUCCAGUUCAGCCUUUAUGAUAGAGAAAAUCGCAGCUGAAGUAAGGACAAAGUGAAUACGCGAGUACACAAAACGUGACUUGUAACCGCGUUUUGUGUAGGCGCGUUUUCCGGCCGCAAUUCUGCAAUUUUGCUCAGUCAAUUCUCUUGUGUUCUGACUACUUUCCAGCUACAAUCUGCAAGAGAAUUCGGUACACAUGCUUUAGAAGACAAAAGGGCAAGAAAGUUGGCAUAUUUUCAAGUCAAAAACAAUGGCUAUUGACUAUCUUAACAAUUUCAGAUUUGGAAAUCAAAUGCAGCAAAUUUGGACCAAUGGAAAAGGAGCUUUUGGAGCAGUUUAUAUAGGGAGCAACCAGGACAUGCAGAGCAUACGGGAGAAGCUUGGAAGUGCAGAAAUGUAGUUUUUCCAUUCUCUUAGUAUUAGAUUAGUGUAGUAUAGUUUAGCUAGUUAGUUCAUCCACUCUUGUACAUUAUCUAGAUUAGGAUGAAAAUGGAGAUGAAGAAGGCAAGGUGAUGAGCUCAAGUGACAUGGGUUACAUUCCUUUCCAACUCUUUAUCUUUUGUAUUUGAUUCCAAGUUUAGCUAAUAUACAAGUUCUGGAUUUUAUAUUUAAUAUGUGUUUUUAAAGUUUAUACCUUGGGUUUGGUUGAACUUCCUAUAAUUGUUAGUAUUUAUUAUUUGGUUAUUUGUUUGCUAGUAUUUGAGCAAGUUAUUUAGCACUUUGGCUCUUGAAAUCAUGAUUAAUCUGGUACCAUUAAUUCUGAUUAUCUAAGGUGUUAUUUUUGCAAUGAAAAUUGAGACUUAACACUAGUUCAAGAAGUGCUAAACAUAGGGAGUACACUCACGAAAGUAGAGGUGCACCUAUGUGGUUUUUAGUGAUUCAUUUCAUGUAAUUUCACUGAAGAAAUGAACUUGUAGCUAAUUUCAUAACCAUGAGAAUAGGUAUGGAUUAGUUAUAAGUAUAAUUGAUUCACUACGAAAGUAGGAUUCAAAUGCAUAAGGAAAUUACACCAUAAUUAGCCUAGAUGUAGUAUUCAAUGAUCCAAAUAUAACACUUGCAUGAGUAGUUAGGGAUACCACAACCUAAGGAGCUUUUAUUUGUUAAUUUCUUGUAUAAGUGCAGUAGGCUAGAUUUCUUAUCAUUCAUUGAUAGUCUAAAUAAUAGAGAAGCUUUAGUAAUACCGGUAAUUGUUCACUCUUCCUUGUGGGAUCGACCCGAUAUAUACCCUAAACUACUAGUUGAUCUGUAUACUUGCAGUGAACGGGUGUAAUUCGGUAUUUUUUAGCUUGCAUGUAUGUAAAAUACCCGUCAUUUGUUCUACUCUUAAGCUCGUGAAGUACCUGUAUAAGUAUGUUUUCAAAGGACAUGAUCAGGUGAGCUUUAAGAUUAUUUCCUGUGGAUCGGCAGACGAUAUUGAUGAAAUAAAAAACUUCCAGAAAGGUAGAUGGGUUUCGCCUCCAGAAGCUUUUUGGCGCAUUUAUGAAUUUAGGCUGAAUGAAAUGAACCCAGCAAUUUACACCCUUCAGGUCCACCUCCCAGACCAGCAAUUCGUUUCCUUUGACAAAGGGUCUGAUUUGCUACAGUUGCUGGGUAAAAUUGACUUUUCUAAGACAAUGUUAACUCAAUUUUUCCACAUGAACAAAACGAAUCUCAGAGCACAACAUCUGAAAUGCUUGUACAGAGAUUUUCCUGAAUAUUUUGUUUGGUCUGCUAAAUAUAAAGAAUGGACUGAAAGAAAGCGUCAAAAGGUGAUCGGUCGGAUGGUGACUGUUAGCCCAAAAGAAAGAGAGAGGUAUUAUUUGAGGUUGCUUCUAACGCACAUUGCUGGACCGACCUCUUUUGAAGACCUUUUGACUGUAAAUGAACAAAGGUUAGCUUCGUUUAGAGAAGCUGCUUUGGCUCUUGGUCUUUUGCAGUCCGAUGCAUAUAUAGAGGAGACACUUCAAGAAGCAGUGGCAUUUCAGAUGCCGUCCUCAUUGAGGCUACUAUUUGCCACUCUCCUUGUGUAUUGUUCUCCGACAAGUCCUAAAUCACUUUGGGAAAAAUUUGAGCUUGAGUUUUCUGCUGACUAUCAUCACCAGCAGCCAUUCCACGGGUUUUCUUCUCCUGAAAUUAGACGAAAGGUUUUAGAAGAUAUUAACAGCUCGCUUGAACAGAUGGGCAAGAGCAUUACAGAUUUUCACUUUGUCUCUGAUGAUUUUUCAUGCGGUUACGCUGAACGGUUAACAAAGGAAAUUGAGAGUGAAAGGAGCUUAACAGUAGCACCUGAGGAUCAGUUGUUGCCUCAGAUGCUAAAUUCUGAACAAAAGCAUGCCUACCAUCUAAUCCUCGCAGCAUGUUUUUUCUUAGAAGGUCAGGCAUUUUUCGUUGAUGGCCCUGGUGGCACCGGUAAAACAUUCCUAUAUCGGUCGCUUCUCGCGACCUUGCGAUCACAAAACCAUGUUGCUAUUGCAGUAGCAACAUCUGGAAUUGCGGCAUCAAUCCUUCCUGGCGGAAGGACGGCUCACUCGAGAUUCAAGAUACCACUUGAUUUCUCGAAGACUAAAAGUUGUCAGCUCAGUAAACAAAGUUCGGCUGCAAAACUCAUUUCUGAAUCAAAGCUUAUUUUGUGGGAUGAGGCUUCAAUGGCUAAACGACACACAAUUGAAGCUUUUGACGAAUUACUGAGAGAUUUAAUAGACUCAGAUUUACCUUUCGGAGGGAAGGUGAUAGUUUUUGGAGGGGAUUUUCGGCAGACCCUACCUGUCAUUGAACAAGCAACUAAAGAAGUUCUCAUAGAGUCAACCUUCCCCAUUUCUCCUCUGUGGCCUAAACUACAUAAAAUCAGGCUUACAGAAAAUAUGCGAGUUAUGUUUGAUCCAGGAUUUUCACAAUUCCUUUUAAGAGUAGGAGAAGGCCGAGAGCCUAUUGAUGAUGAGGGUGAAAUAACUUUAUCAUCAGAUAUAGUUAUUCCUUACUACGAUAAAGAGGAGUCUUUAAACAGGUUAGCUAACUGCAUAUAAUCAGAUUUAGUUCCUUUUUAGUAGUCAUUCCUCCUACUUCCACCAUCAAUACACUUUCUUUUGCACAGGUUAAUAGAAAGCGUCUUCCCAGAUUUGAACCUCUAUUCUCAAGAUCCUUAUAACCUGAUUAAUAGGUGCAUCCUUGCUCCAAAAAAUAGCUCAGUUGAUGAGCUCAAUGAAAUAAUGAUUAAGAGAUUUCCUGGAAGCCUUCAAACCUAUAUUAGCUCGGAUAAGACUGUUGAUCAGCGGCACCAAGGUGAUUAUGAGGAUUUUCUCAAUUCUCAAGAUCCUAAAGGUCUCCCUCCUCAUAGAUUGCUGUUAAAGGAAAACUGCCCAUUGAUGCUUCUCAGAAAUUUAAAUCCAGCUGAGGGUCUAUGCAAUGGCACAAGGUUAAUAUGUAGAGAACUCGGCCAACACACAAUUUCUGCUGAAAUUGUUUUUGGCCAUCAUCGAGGGAAAAGAGUUUUUAUUCCAAGGAUACCUCUUCAAACGCCUGACAAUGACAAAAAUGGGAUUCCAUUCAUAAGAACACAGUUUCCUGUCCGCCUUUGUUUUGCUUUGACUAUCAAUAAAUCACAAGGUCAAACUCUUGACUACGUCGGCAUCUAUCUCCGAGAACCAGUUUUUUCGCAUGGCCAGUUGUAUGUUGCUCUGUCCAGAGCUAAGACCGCUGCUAAAGUUAAAAUUCUUCUUGUUCCUGGAACAUUUGAUGGAAUAAAAGUGGAUUGCAAAACUCGAAAUGUUGUCCUUGAUGAAAUUUUUAGACUAACUCAAGCCUAAACCAUUUUCUGCUUGGAUUCUACUAAAGUAAGAUGGUUAUACAGAUUUUAAAUUACUAGAUUACUGUGUUUUUUGGAUCUCUUUGUUCCUGUUUAUUUAUCCAUCAGCUUGUGUUUUUAUAGGAUGGCUAACCAACUGCCAAUGCGGGAUAUUAUGCCUCAUAUGAAAAAUUGGAGUUGUAUCGUCACUGUUCAAGAAAAGCAACAAAUCACAAAUUCAAUGGGGACACCAACAAGAAAGCAGAAAUUUGUUUUCUAUGAUUCAGAGGUUUAGCAAAGCUACUGCUCAGUUUUAGAUGUAAUCUCUUAAGUGCGCUAUUGUUUUGCUUUCUUUGUAAUGUAUUAAUUUUACCUCUUUAAGUAGGGAUCAAGAGUCGAAGGAAUCAUCUUCAAUGAUGAUAUUCCUAGAAUGAGCCAGAUCCUGCAGAUUUAUAAAAAAUAUAAAAUCUCCAAUGCUGAGGUCAGGCCUAUACCGCCGAAGUUCCAGACCUCUGAGCUUACCAUUCAGUGGGUUAUCAGCACCAGGACUGUUAUUGAAGAGAUUGCUAUUGAUGAUGAAGUCAUGCCUGUGAAAUUCUGCUAUUCGAAGUUUACUGACUUAGUUCAGUACAUGGAUGACAAAACUAAAUCAGUCGGUGAGUCUUUCAAUGCUUUACUCUUAAUGUGUUUACAUUCUAAACAAAGUUUUUUUAAUCCCUUCUCUGUAUUGUUCAUAGACGUGCUGGGAGUUGUGAUUAGUGCGCUUGAGAGGAAAACAGUUAUCAAGAAUUCAAGGCAAUCAGAUGUUCAGAAAUUUGUCCUGCUUAAUGAAGAGUGAGGACUUUAAUCUUCAGUUUAGCCAAAUGUUCACGCUGCAUUUCUUUCUUUUUCUCUACGGUCAUUUUUUCCCAGUCUCUAACUAUCAACUUUUAUCGUGAUCACAGAUCCCAGCCUGUUCUAUUGUCUCUAUGGGAUAGUUUUCUGGCUAAUGAGGGACAGGAGAUAGUGUCUAAACUUCACACCUAUCCUGUGAUCAUUGCUCGCAGAGUUAAAGUGAACAACUAUAAUGGUUUGCACCCAUUUUACCUUUCGCCAUUUUUACUGUUUAGCUUUUGCAUUCGCCUCCAACACCUGUGAAUAAAUGUGUGCAUUUUCCCUGUCGUAUAGGGGUCGCACUAGGUACUUGGUUUGAUUCAGCGAUUCUUGUUGAUCCACCUAUACAAGAAGCAAGGGAACUCAAAAACUGGUACGAUUUCUUUUCAGUUAUCGCCCUCUGCACAUUUCAGAUGUAAGCCCUGUCCCCACUUUCAGUCCUAACAUUUUUUUAUGUCUCCUUUCACCCAGGGCAUUGAGGAACACUAAGUUCAUUAAAGAGAUUGUCGAAAAAAAGGACUACAUUAAAUAUAAUCCGCAGCUGUCAUUGAAAUCAGGCCAGAAAACCACACUUCAUCACAAAAGGUUUGGGACUGAAACAUGCUGCCCUGCUUUCAUACUCUUUUCGUGUAUGAUCGUCUUUUUAUACUCAUACUUGCUCAUUUUUUAGACUAUAUGGGUGAAGGCACACUUCUCUUUCGAGCACAUCUUCCAGAAAUAUUGGUACAUGAGCUGCAAAAACUGUUGCCGAGCUACAGCAGCAGACUAUCAAGUCGAGUUUACCUGUAACUCGUGCAAAGAGAAACAUCCUGCAGUACCUAGGUGCUAAAUAGUAUACCUGUGCUAUAUUGCCUUAUGUUCAUUGCUAUCUAAUUCUGGUCCACAUCAAAAAACAUGAAUUGCUGCAUAUUGUGUGUCUAUUUUCAGAUGCCGCUUUAAUGUUGAUUUGGCUGAUUCCACUGGUGUCAUACCAGCUUCAGUAUUUGGCGAAUUAGCAGAGAACCUAUUGGCGUUUAGUGCACUGGAAGCAAUGCAACAUUUUAAUGAGGUUCUUGACUCCUGAACCUUGAUAAUAAAGAUAUUUAAUACAACUUUAUUCUUACUUUUCGCUCUCUUAGCAGAAUGUUGAGCUUCCCCUCGAGUUUGUCCACAAGGAGCUUAAAUCAAAGACGUUUCUCCUUCACAUCAAACCUGUUCAAACGCAGCUGGCAGAUUCAAGGCAGCGCUACACAGUUAUAUACUACUCUGAAAUUGAUGAUGAUGCCGAUUCUGUCCAGUUAACAGAUGAACCAAGAGAUGACUCCCCUUUUCCUAGCAAAGAAUCUGAGACUGUACAGCUCGGGGCUGAAGGUAACUCGCAGACGUUUUUUUUUUUGUUCUCCAUUUGAAUUUUACUUUCGCUUUAAUAAUAUCGCAUAUCAAAAAAAUAUGGUCACAGGGGAGAAUACUGCUCGUUCAAAGGUUUGUGUUCAGCUUUCUCAGAGGUUUGAUGAACCACACAGCACUGAAGCAAAUGAGGAUGAAGAUGCAGAAUGCAGCUCUAGCAAGAAGCAAAAAAUCGACUGACUCGUUGCUGUUGAGUCUUUUGGCCACGAAAUCCUUAAUUUCUAUGAUUGACAUGCUAUCAUCUAUUUUUGCAAGGGUACUUAUGCAUUCCUAGAAGGGUGAUUGAUGUAUUGAUGAAAAAUGUCCUUUUGUUCAUGGAUACCCCUUAAACUGCUUUUGGUCUACCCCCUUUUACGUUUGCUGAUAAGCUGCAAUCAGCACCAGUUAUGUGUUUGAAUUGAUGCUUUACAGCUAUUAUGUUCCUGUCACAGUAUCCUUUAAAUUCAUCUUCUACUCUAUUUAACUCAUUAAAUGACCUUGUGGUCAAUGUGUUGUCUCUUAUACGGUAACUUUUGCAGAAUACCUUUAUCAGGGUCUAUUCAACUUUUUCCCUGCACAUAACUCUCUUAUUAAAUAUCACAUCUACUGCUGUGAGCUCCAUUUACUCUGCUUCCUGCCUCAGACUUAGUGUAUCUAUUAGCCUUAAAUUGUGUAGUUGUGCAGCCUUCAAUUCAUUUGCAGAAAUAGAGCUUCUUUCCUGAGCAUAACUGUGUUAUACAAUGCACUAUGCCCUUAAUUGUUUUGAAACACAAUAGAUAAAAUAGAUGCACGGUGGUAGCAGGCCUUGGGUUCCUAGCGUUCACUUCUUUUAAUAUUAACAUGUUCUGCAUCUUUGAUGCAACAAAUCAUUAAUCUCCUUGUAGACUGUAAAUAAAAAAUGAGAGCCAACCAGGCUACAAAAAAAAAUCAUAAAAAAAACUGUUAGCCAUUCAUUGUUUAUAUAUAGCUACUUCUUGAAUAGCUCAUACAUCCAAGGCAAAGCACUGCGAGUUAAGCUGCCUACUUGCUUCCCUUGAGUUAUCCCUAACGUUCAGCUGUUCUCUUUACCUGCAAAUACUUACAUCUUUUACAUUUUUUUUAUUACCUUCUCCAAUCACAUCAAUGGCAGAAGGUUCAUCUACCUAUGGAUUAACAAAUAGCAGCUCAAUGGCCUGUUGUUUUCUACUGAAAUGCAAUCACAGAGGAGAGGUCCAAUUUUCUUCUAUGCGAUGGAAAUUACUUGUUAGCAAUGUAUACUGCAGUUAUAUGCAUUCAUUUCACAUUUUCUAUUUUUCUGUCCUAAACGCAGAUUCUGUCUGCUCAAUUCAAACUAUUACUUGCUCAGCACCAGCGCAAUACAAUCAUUCUCAGACAUGGAAUUUAUAAAUGGCCUGUUGUGGUCGGUCAGCGUUCAUUCCAAGAAGGCUGGGAUGAAUAUUACCAUGAAAACAUUACUAACAAACAUGAUAUCUUACUCCUACGCCAUACCGGCAAUCUCAUCUUUGAUGUCAUCCAUUUUUCGGAGCUGCAGAGACAGGUUUAUCUAUCUUGGACAGUUCCAUUGCCAAAUUUAUUGCAGGCUCGUGCUGCUCAUCCACAAGGUCAGUUAUGCUAACCUUUAUAUCGUGCAGUUACUUGUAACAAAAUUGUCUCUGCUUUAUUAUUUGCUAAAUAAAUUCAAAUAGUGCAGAUUCUAUAAUAAUUCAGCAGUCGGUUGCUUCAUCAAUAAAACCAGAUUUAACCCAAAAUCUUACUGACUCGAUUUCCUUCUAUCAAACAUUUAAUACAGCAUCCCCGAACACAUUGGUAACCUUUCCUUACACUGUUUCUUUUUCCCUCUCUCACUGCAUUCCUUUAAACCGAAUCUAUAUAUUAUGUUCUCACGUCUCACUUUCACUCUUUUGUAUUAGAAAAUCCCAAGAUUUGUCGAUCACUUCGUUAAUGGACAGAGAACUCCAACACUACUUAUUAGAACUGGAGAAAAACUUACAGAGAUUGGUGUGAAAGGAAAAAAGCUAAAAACAAAUUGGAGAAACUUCGCUCUUCAGCAUCAGUUGCAGCACAAUGAAGUCCUCGUCUUCAUUCCAGAAUCAUCAACUACCUUCACACUUUCAGUCUUCGAUGAUGAUGGAGUCGAGAAAGUCUUUCCAUGGUCUUGCAUCUAUGAAAUUUAUUCUAAUUCUCCUGCUUGUACCUAACUUCUGCAGUGUGGUUUUAUCUGUAACCGAAAUUCACUUUUCGCUUGAACCUCUCCAUCACGCAUGUUCAAUUUUUAAUUUCAUUGAACCGCACUUUACAUUCCUGCUAAAUAUAAUUACAUUGCAAUGAAAUUAAGCAUGCAGCAAGUACAUUACAAAUACCUAACAUCUAUUAUUGCUGCAAACAAACUCAAGAACGCUAACAAUUCCGCCUUUCUGUUUGCCAACUAAUUAUUUCAUUCUCCCAGCAAUAAGCUUCGGUUAGGGACCAUUUCCGUUGACUGUGAAGAUAAAUUGUUGCACAGGGAUCCUUUUUGAAAAAUAUUAACCCUCUUCAUUCUCAAUAUACACCUAUUUUGUACCAUGUAUCACAAUUCCAUUCUCCUGUCGAGAGUAGCGCGUUAAUUGUUCCAAUUAUCAUGUUCCAUAAAAAACAAUUGAAUCAACCAUAUACAAACAGUUAAACAGCCUCAAAAUUAAUUCUUCUUGUAUAUUUAAAACCCCCCCAAACAAUCAAUCCUCCACACAAUAAUCCAACAAAAUUAAUUGUGUUUACUCAUUCUUUAAUAUUUUUACAUCUUCCAUUUACUUCUCCGCACGAUUAUCAUAUUUCCACUUCAAAAUUUGGACAUUUUCUGGGCAACACAAAAAUAACACCGCGCGGUGCGCGCGGUGAACCCCUCCUAGUCCUCGGAAAAUGGGCCCCAGGAUUCUGACCUUACCGAAAUUGCCUCCCUCUCCUACACACUAAAAUUCUUCUUAAUUACAAAAUUACUGCAAAACAGCAGAAGAAGAGAAAAGACAAAAACACAAUUACUAUUUCAGAUUCUUUUGCACUUGUUAAUUAAAGACCUAAAAUUUCAUCAAUUUCUGUUAAAACUAUGAUUGACGAGAAUGAUAUUUUCAUUAAGCAGCUAAGUCACAGUACUUACUUACCGAUUUUUUUAAAUCGAGAAUCCUUUUGAAGCUAUGGCUUUUCGAUGCACAUCCACAAAUCAAUUCAAAUAGAUUAAGAGGAAGAAAUGGUAGCCAGCCAAAAGGUUGGUUGGUCCUUGAAAUAUUAAGUUUGAACAUUUUUAGCAAUCUUAACUAUUAAUUGUUUACAUUCAACUUCUAAAACCACGCACUUUUAAUUGUUCCAUCAAUUUUAACGGUUCGACCUAACAAAAUUUAUCUCAAAAUGACAUAGUUUUGAUCAUCUUCUUCCUCCAAGACGUCCAGUCACGGGUACAACUACUUGCUAGCGGUCAACCCCGAUGGCCAAUGAUUAACAUCUAUCUAGACCGACAAGAUUUAGAUGAAAUUAUACGUCUGGACUUUAUGGUUUUGUGUAGAUUCCAAAUUUAUGUUCAAUUUUCUAUGAAUCUUGCUAGAUUUGAGUAGAUUUAUAAAAAAGAAAAGAAAAGAGAGAGAUAGUUUUACCACCACUUUACAAUCCUUUAUAUAUCUUUGGAAUCACAUAUCAACGUAUUCCUUGGAAUAAGAAAGUUCAAAGAGGCAAGGCCCAUUUUGUGUUAAAUUCUCUAACAUUUUAUUCCAUUGAAUUCCUUAUUUUGAUUUAUUUGGUCAUAUUUGCAUUGAAUGAAAGCCCUUUUUCUAAGGACUAUCUCUUUUCCUAUUUUAACUUAUCAUACCCUCGGUUUUUACAUAUGGGAUUGAGUGUGGUGCAAUUUUUAACAGCCCAAACAAACAGAGGCUGAGAAGAAAUAUGUGCUUUUAGAAGUUAGACUGCCAAAAAAUAAAAGUAAUAACUAAUAAAAGCAUAUAAACAUAAUAGUUUGAGGACCAACAAGAUAUUUUGUAGGUAAUGAGUCCAUCAUUACUAGCAAUAUAGGUUACCUCUUUAUUUACAAGAUAGUGGUAGUAGUAGUAACAGGCCAGGCCACCGCUAAUGUCUCCUCUACUAUUAAUAUUGAAUAUGUAAAAGCGUCAAUGGACUUGGGUACAGAAAAAUCAUGUUAAUGUCUCCUCAACUACUAAUAUUGAAUAUGUAAAAGCGUCAAUGAACCUAGGUACACCAAAAUUAUUGUAGCUACUACAGUGGUUUUAGGCCUGUAUGAACAGAAAAAAUAUAUUUGCAGUUGGAUGGUUUUUUCAUCAUUUCAGUGCACUAAUAAAUGGAUGAAAAAAUAUUGCCAACAUGUCUUGAUCGGAUGCUUUUGUUUUUUGGCGAAUAAAAGUUUAGAUGAGUUCAACCCUCGUCACCAUCACAAGUUAGGACAUGCCUCCGAGAUCACAAGUUUCUUACAAGAAUUCUUAUAAAUUGGAAACUAUCAGAUUGUAAAGGAUUUUCUUGCCCCUUUUUUGUCCACCUCUUUACUCACUUCCUAUUUGUCCUUUAAAAAUAUCUUAUUUUAAUUAUGUUUUCUUAUUUUCCUAAGUUUUAAUAACUAAUAAUAGGAUAAAAAAGGAUAAAUUUUUUAUACACUAUCAACGUAUACGCUAGUGGGUUUAGAUGCAUGCUAUAUAUACAAAAUUUGAUAUUUAAAUUCAAAUUCAAAUUCAGAUGAUGUGACAUUCAUCCAAUCCCGUCAAUGUAUACAUUGACAGUAUAGAAAAGAUUAAUCCAAAAAAAUACAAUAGACUAACUACGUCAAAUAUCAUAGAAACAUGAAAUUUUGUAUAACUUUUCUUUUUUCUCUUAUAUAGUACUGUUGAAAUUAAUUUGCAGUCUUACGCUUGUACGCUCAAAAAUGGAAUUACUCUUGGAGGAUACACUUGGGUGAGUGGCAGAUCCACAAAUUUGAUCCAAGGAGUUGCCAUCUGGAUUGGAUCCGCAGCUAAAUCCAUGUAAUGAAUUCAGGUGCAGAUCUGAUAAAGGAUUUACCUAUGGAUUGGAUUUGCGAACAGAUCCGUGUGGGCUUAGGCCUGAUCUGCCGGGUACCCACUAUAAAUAUGGCAUUUGAAAGUUGUUUUCUUCCUUCAGCUACACGACCCAAUUUUAUCCCUUGUCAAGGUGAAAUCUCGAUCUACAUUCAACCAAAAAAAAAAUAAAAAAUAAAAAAGAAAAAUGAUUCUGAUUUUGAUUUUGAUUUUGCCAUCUAUCAUGUCACUAUCGAACUUUAAUCAUUCUGUGAUACUAGUUAAACAAAAUGAUUCUGAAUUCAAGGUUUAAAUAAAAGAAAAAAAAUUGUAACUAACCGUCAAGGUUUAUUUGAACAUUAUUGUGCUAAUUGUCAAUUUUUGCAGAUCGAAGUGCCAAUGAAAAAUCAUUAAGUGGGUACAUUGAUCAUUGGAUAUCUAUCUAGUGAGAUUAAUAAUUGUACUUUUUUUGAUUAAAAGAAGAAAUUUUAUUAUUAAGAUUGCUGGAAAUCAUCCGGCAGCAAAAUGAUCGAUAAAAGUGGAGGGAGAAUUUCAAAGGAAUUCAAACAUAAUUAGAUGAUUUGGCAAAGGGAACCAAUUCACGAGCAACUUAGUUUGUAUUCUUAGAACCCAAUAUAUACAAAGAGGUAAAAAGAGUAUAAGUUUUAUGAUCCACAAAUCAAUGUAAUUAGAUAUGCAACAAAACAUGCCAAAGUUCCCUUAAUUAGCCUUUUACAUUAGAAAUUUCAUCACAAAAUAAAAAAAAAAUGUAGUAUAGUCCAUCAAUACCAAUCAUUCGCUUUAAAGAAUUUUGGAGAUUGAGCUGUUCUAUCAAAAAGGUAGAAACCAUCUUCCCUGACUUCCCAAUUGCAUUCAUUAGUGCUGGAGUGGCCGCAGUAAUCAGAAAUCUUGCUAUCAAAAACAGCAAAACCGCCUUGUUUGGCAAACCACCAAAAAUGACAGUAAAAUGCUGUUCUUUCGAAAAGUGCCAUUCUGAAAUGCCAAUUCCAGUCUUCAGAUAAAUCCAGGGUGCGAAAUCCCAAAUCAUCAUCUGCAGAAAAACAAUGUGCCCUUAAUUUAUCGGGCAAACGAUUAACUAUAUGAACAUCAUAAGGCUCCCCAUCACCAUGAACAUGUAGUAUUGUUUCCACAAAGAAAAAUGACAAAAGAAGAAGGGCAAAGAAACUUUUACUUGUGAUAUAGUUCAUUUUGUUUAUGGACAAACUGUUACAAUGCAUGCUCUAAGUUUUCCAACGUCACCUUUAUAUAGUAUAGAAAUGCCAAAUAUCUCUUACAAUUAUUACUUCCAUAAUAAAAUAAAUUUCCAAUUAUUAGUACAUUGUCAAAUAUCUCUGCAUUAAUAUCGGUGUAAUCCAAUUUUGAAUUCAAGUGUAUGAAGUGUUAAUGCAGAUUUUUCAAAAGAAGAAACACUAUAUACGGUUAAUGCAACAAAAAUUUUGUACUAAAAUGUUAAAUAUGUUGAAAAUAUUGGCCACUAUUUUAGUAUAAACAUUUAAUCACAGAGAUCAAAAUGUUUUUACUAUUUUCUCUAUACAAAAACUUUGUACCAUCCAAACUUUAUACCUAGAGCUGUUAUCUAGUUUUAACUCGUUUAACAAAGAGAUGCUUUUUUAAACUAAAUGAUGAUGUUACGUUGAUAUAAAGCGUUUUCAUGAAUGUUCAUGCAAUUAAGAACACAUUUGUAAUAUAUUUAAUUCAAUUCAUGUUGCAUUUAAUCUUAAACCCUUAAUUGGAAGUAUUAAAAACCUGAGGGAUCCAUUGAUAAAAACUUCAAAAUUAGGGACCAAAAGUGUAAAGCCAAAUUUUUCACUGACACCAAUUUAAUAUGAUUGUUAGAAUUCGCAAUUUUUCCAUUAAUUGUCCCAAAAUUUUCCUAAAACAUAAAAUUUUAGGGGCCAAAUUUGUUUUAAUUGAAACAUUAGAGACUAAUUUGACUCAUGGAUUAAAUAUUGGGGGAGAAAGUGUAAUUUUUGCUAAUUUUUUCAGCAUAUCCUUUCCCCCGAUUAAUAGUAGCUGAAACGUUGUUAUUCAAUCUAAAUGCAAUUUCAACUAAUUAUGAGCAUCCGGUAAAGCAAUAACUUAAACAGAAAUAAAUGGAUCUAUUACAAUAGCUUAGAUUAAAAGAAAAAUCGGCUAGAAUUAGUUAUUUGAAUGAACCACUGUUGUAAAUACAUGCGUAGCACCAGACUUUACAUCAUUGGUUACUUGGCGACCACACCUCCGCCAGAUUUACAUUAUCAUGUGAAGCUCUUAGGCAUUUGAAGUCGGGACCAUCUACGAUAAAAAUCAUUCCAAGAAUGUGGGAGAAGAAAAUAAUUUUAAAAAAAGGAGAAAAUUGGGUAGAUAUCCCACAUGUUACUAUAACUUAUUUUGAUUUUGUCGAAUUUAAUCAUUCUGUACAAUAGGGUAAAUUAUUUAUAAUCCCCUUGUGUCUUUACAAAAUACUAAGACGACCCCUCUAAAGUUUCAAAAUAAGCACAUAACUUCCCUAUGAUUUUAUGUAAAGUGAAAAUCUUAAUCAGUUACUACGUUUAUACCAAACGUACUCUAAAAGCGUGUGUGUUAAAAUUUUAAACUCCAUGUAACCCUCUUAUGUUUUGUACAAUAUUCACUUUAUCCUCGUGUAAUUUUUACAUUUAUCCGCGUAAUUCUUUUAUACUUUUACACAAGAUAGUUAAUCCAUCAAUUGAUUUAGCAUUUAAGUAAGGGCACUAUUGGUAUUUCAUUUAACGCAUCACAUAGACUAUUCUCCAUCAAGUUUUCACUUUAUAUAAAAUCAUAGAAGGUGAAGUAGAUAUUUUGAAACCUCAGAGGAGUUAUGCGGCAAUAAAAAAAAUCACAAGGAGUUACAUGCAAUUUACUCAUUAUUUAAACAAAGUUAUUUUUGAGUCAAGGUUUAUAAUUAAAAAAGGAAACCAACCGUCAAGGUUUAUUGAUCAUUAUUGUGCUAAAUGUCAUGAUAAGAACCGUUGGUGAAUGAAAUUCGCAUUAACAAGCCCAAGAACCGUUGGUGAUUAACACAAGUUUGAAUAACCGAAUUCCUAUACAGACUCCUCUAAUUUCCGUAGUUGUGAACGUUGAUACGAUCCUGACCCGUAACCACAUAAACUAGCGAACCUUAUGAAAGAUAGUACAAUGCCACAACCUUAUGAAACUAGUGUGAUUUUAGAUUGAUAUGCCAAAACAAACACUCAAGACAAUUCUAAAUUGUUCAAGGGUAUUUAAAAAGCCAAGAGAGCUAUCUCUCAAGAUGAUUUUUCUGGAAAAAUAUCACUUUUUUCUUUAUUUAUUAAAGCGUUGCCUUAUUUAUAACCUUAUAAGACACAAAAACCUAAUCUAAUUUGGAAAUAAUACAAGAUUCCUAAUUCGACACAAUUUCCUAACUAACAAAGAAACCCAGAUAGGACACAGUUAUUAUGCUAGAUAUGUUUUAGUAGAGUUACACGACUCAAACGGAUACCAGGAAAUCGAAAAUAACUCAAAAAUCAUGAAAAUUGCUUAAAAUGAGAAAAUCUUAUACAACAACGAUCGGCUUGGGACAUUGAAUUGGAUAUGGGUCGCAGGGUGGAUCAGCAGCCUGGGUCGCGGAUCCGGUCUCCGUUUCUACUUCUGCUUCAUUUUCCACACUUUUCCUUCAACAAUGAACUACACCGACGCCCCCCAAGUUCAAAACAACACAAUCCCUGGUUUGUUGCGCAUCAUCAAAUUGAACCAAGUAGAUGCUUUUGAAACACUAAUAGUAACUUGAAAAGUUCGAACCAUAGUGAGAAAGUAACUCUUCACUUUGGUUGGCUCCGUGCUCUCAUCACGUUAAUUUCUGCAAUUUACUGAAUUUUUUUUAAUUUUUUAGUGGGAAGAUCGAAGUUCCAAUAAAAAAACCCUUUAGGUGGGUAAAUUUGAUUGUUGGAUAUCUGUCUAAUGAGAUUAAUAACCGUACAGUCGUACUUAAUUAUAUACAUUGAGGUAAAAAGAGUAAAGUUUUAUGAUCCAAAAAUCAACUCAAUUGGAUAUUUCGUUUAACCUUUUACAUUAGAAAUCUCAUCACAAAAUAAAAUAAUAAUGUAGUAUAUUCUAUCGAUAUCAGUCAUUCUUUUUUUUUUUGUCAUAACAACUGAGUCAGGGGAACUUGACUGGAACUAAACCACAAUUAGACCAGACGGGUGCACCACAUACCCGUACGAAUUUAGAACAAACCUCAUAUUGAGGCAUAUUGAUGGGAGCUCGGAUGAUUAAUUUGAGGUCAGAUUUUGCAUUGUCUUUCUUUUAUGAACUAGAAAUGAUUACUCGAAGGAUAAGAGAAAAGAUGUGGAAUCCUCCAUGUAGAAGAUAAAAAAAUGAAUAGGACAGCGAAUGAAUUUUUGGUACUUAGAACAGAAUCAAAACAAUUUUCAACUUUUACUGAUGUACUAAAUAACAAAAAGAAAUUAUAAUAUCAAGGCUUGACAAACAAGCCUCUUUAUUGAAAAAAAAAAAAAAAAAAAAAAAACUUACCUCCUGAUCUUGUUGCCGUGCUUGGGAAAUAGUAGCAAAAUCUUUUUCUUGUUUUCCUUUACAUAUUACUGCGCUUGUUAGCAAUUCCACAACACAUGAAAUUUGUGCCUUAGCCACCUAAAUAAACAAAUACCUUAGAAGAGGGCUACUAUUAUUCGACUCAUGAUCCUCAGUUCUAUUGUUCUUUGGCUUCAAGACCUUUUGCUUCACUUUGCCCCACAACUUCUUUGCCCUCUGGGAUGCAGUUUCUUUCUUCCUAAAUGUGUAACUUCUAAGAAAUUUUUGCCUUCUAAUAUAGUAGUCACUGCUGCCCCAAAUUAAACCUGUUUCUAGACUAGUAUUUAUGGAAGAAAACGAGGGUAAGCCCUCUAUUUCUCUUCUCAUGCUCAACUUCCUCACCAAUUCUCUAUCCGCUUGCGUCCAUUCUUGAAGCUCUGUCAUCUUCUUACUAGCUGGAGAUUCAAUGUGGAAGAAGAAUUCGUAAUCGUGAAUUUUGUCGACCGUCUUCUCUAAAGGGGCUAAAAUUUAAAGGGCCUUUUAUUCAUAAUUUUGUGGCCGUUCAAUACUGCUUGUAGGAUUAUAUAUAUAUACAUCCACCUCAUGUAUAAACCGACUCCUAGAAGAAUUAGGAAAUUUAACAGUAUUGCACGCAUGGAAUUCGUAUUGGAAAGGUUACCCUUUUUUAAGAAACAAUUAUGGUGAAUAACACUUGGAACUCUUCUUUUACAAAGAAAAGGAAAAGCCAAUUCUAAACAAUUGUGAUGGACUAAUGAUUUUGGCACUCCAAAUUUAUUCUUUUUUUAACUAAGAUGCCGUAGGCUAUCUUAAUUCAGAACCCAAAAUACCCACAAAUACAUAAGUAACAAGGCAACUUGAAACUUGAUGAGAAAAAUAGUAGCUAUUACUAAUUAAUUAUAGCACCUUUUAUGUGUGGUUAUAAUAUUUUUGAGGUAAUAGAAUUAUUGGAACAAAUAGUGCACCAAAAGGCUGGUCAUAGCUCAAAUCUCCUGCAAUCAACCCAAACAAAAAAAAAAAAAAAAUCAACAACAACAACGGAAGUGUUGUUUGCCCAUGGAAACAAUCAGUUGGUCUUAUGUUUUAGUAAAAACAAAGUUUGCAUUGUUUUUUUUUAUGAACUAGAAAAAAAUUAUGGGAAGGAUAAGAGAUAAAUAUCUGGAAUUAUCCGUUUAGAAGAAAAAGAAUACAUAGUGAGGAUAGCUUAUGAAUUUUUGUUGCUAAAAAUAAAAUUUUAACAAUUCUCAACGUUUAUUGAUGUACUAAAUGAUACAAAGAAAAUUGGUCUUAAGAUUUACAAACAAGCCUCUUUAAAAUUAAAAAAGAAUUUUAAAAAACCGAAAAUUUUGACCUCUUGAUCUUGGUGCGAUGCUUGGCAAAAAGCAGUAUCUUUUUAUUGUUCUUGUGACAAAUUACCAGCUUUAGCAAUUCUAAAAACAUGAAAUUUAUACCUUGGCCACCAAAGUAAACAAAACACCUUUUAAAAAAUUUUUUUUCUAGUAGAGGGGGAGUAGGACUUAACGAGCGGAGAGAGAAUAGGAGGAUUUGAACUCUAGAUCUUCAAUUUCUGAAACCUCCACCUUAAUCACAAACAAAACACCUUAAAAGAGUGCUCCAAUAAUUCGAGUCAUAAUCCUCAGUAUUAUUGUUCUUUGGCCUCAAGACCUACUCACAAAUUUUAUUUAGGGCAAAUUCCACUUUACUCCCCUGUGGUUUAGCGUUUUCUACAUAAACCCACUCAUGGUUUGGAUUAAAGUGUCAAAAUGACAGAAAUGAUUAUUCGUAAUGGAGCCAUCUAAAAUGUCAAAAAUACCCUUAUGUAAAGUUGAAUAUUAUUUAUUAACCAAGGGGGGUUAUGUAUAUAUUUUGAAAACCAUAAGGAAGUUAUAUGGUAAAAUAUUAAACUAUAAGGGGGUUAUAUGGUAAAAUAUAAAAAUCAUACGGGGUUAGUGUGUCAUGUAUUUAUAAGGGUAAUUUAGGCAUUUUUAGAAGUUCCGUUACAAAUGACUAUUUUCAUCACUUUGACACUUUAAUCCAAACCAUGAAGGGAUUAUAUAUAGUUUUUGAAACCAUAGGAGGAUUAUGUAAGAAAAUGCUAAACCAUAGAGAGGUAAAAUGUAAUUUGCCUUUUUAUAUAUGUACAUCAAUUUGAUACAUAAAUACGAUGACGUCUAUAGCACAGAUCAAAUUGUGGAAGAAAUAUAAUAACCACAGUCAAUGGUACUAAACAUCAACCGUGCCUAUCCCAAGCCCAAUUUAAACAUCUGAAAUACAAAUUUAUCAGAUACAAGCUAAUACACAAACAGCAGCAAAUUGCGUAUUCGACACUACAAUUUGUGCAAAAUCAAGUGAGCACCAUACUGCGGCUGAAUAGUUAAAACUACACGGGGAGCAUGUGUAUAAGAUGGUGAAAGUUCAAAGGAGAAGCGCUGCAGAAUCAUAGCUAGUGCCACUUUUGCUUCUAACAUAGCAAAGUUUUGGCCAAUACAUACGCGAGGUCCGCAACCAAAUGGGAAGAAUGCAACUUUUCCAUUUGUUGCGUUUGAGACUCCAUCAGCAAACCUCUCUGGCUUAAACUCCUUCACAUCAUCCCCCCAUAUUUCAGGGUCAUAGUGCAACAACAUUGCUGGCAAUGAUACCUGCACUUGAGAUGGGAGAGUUAAAUUUCCCAAUUGAGUUUCUUCAGCGGCUUUUCGAGCCAAUUCAGGUACUGGUGGAUAUAGUCUGAGAACCUCGUGUAGUAUCAUGGUGACCUAUCAGAUACAAUAAAUUACUGAGAAUCCUUACUAAAGUUUUAACAAUUCCACACUAAGGAGCUAUUUGGUCCAAAUUCUGCAACAAUUAUCACUCUGAAUAUGAUAAAUUGGGCAAUAGCUAUGGGUUUUAUAAAAAAACUUUACAGUAAUAGGUUUUAGGAAUAAAAGAAUAGUGGAUAAGUAAAAUCCCACUGUUUAGCAGUUAAUCAUGAAACACGUAGAAGGAGUAUAUAUAAUCCAUUAACUAAUUUUGAUUUAUCAUAAAUAAAUAUUAUAUACUGGAUAAAUAAAAGGGCAAAUUACAUUUUAUCCCCCUGUGGUUUAGCCAUUUUUUACAUAACUCCCAUAUGAUUUCAAAAGCUAUACAUAACUCCCCCAUGGUUUGGAUUAAAGUGUCAAAGUGACGGAAAUAGUCACUCGUAACGGAACUUCUAAAAAUGUUGAAAUUACCCUUAUAAAUACAUGACAUAUUAACCCCGUAAGAUUUUUAUAUUUUACCAUAUAAACCCCCUUAUGGUUUAAUGCUUUAACAUAUAACCCCCUUAUGGUUUUCAAAAUAUCCACAUAACCCCCCUUGAUUAAUAAAUAAUUUUCAACUUUACAUAAGAGUAUUUUUGACAUUUUAGGUGGCUCCGUUACGAAUGAUCAUUCCCGUCACUUUGACACAUUAAUUCAAACCAUAAGGGGGUUAUGUAUAGUUUUUGAAACUAUAGGGGGAUUAUAUAAAAAAAUGCUAAACCACAGGGGAUAAAGUGGAAUUUGCCCUAAAUAAAACCCUACUAUUUAGUAGUUGAUCAUGAAACUCAUAGAAGAGUUAUAUAAAAUCCAUAAACUGAUUCGGAUUGAUGUUAAACAAACAUUAUAUAAGAGUGUGAUUGAUAUUGAAACCCAUUUUUUUAUGUUGAAACACGCUUACCAAACACCUCCCAGCAAAACUCUUUAGAGUUUAGACCUCGCUGGACAUGAUUACUUCAUAGAGUUCAAUUCUGAUACCGAAGAAUGAAUGCAAAUAAAGACGAAUCAAGCAAGUAAAUUAAGAUCUUCCUAGCAAAGCUAUAUUAGUUACAGCUAAGUAUUUCUUUUCCCUUAUCAAGAAACUAUAUAGAGUGUUCAUAUUUAAGAGCUUGAGGUGAUUUUACAUCUAUGCUGGUGGCUAGAACAGUAGAAACUAUACUGAAAAAGCAUCAGAAGAUUAAUAACACAAGUUUACAACAGGAUUUUUGUAAUUUGUAAAGAGUACUUACCAAUUUUAGGUGAUUUAGUCCAUCCAAAUCUGGCUUGUUAGUCCCAAAGUGUUGCAAAACCUCUUCUCUUGCACGCGCUUGCCAGUUUGGAUACCUACUCAAUAAGAUCAUUGUCCAGACAAGCAGCACUGAAGUGGUCUCCUGCCCCGCAAAAUAGAACAGCUUACAUUCUUCAAUAACCUCUCUAAUACUCAUGCCAAAACCCUUGUUUCCAUGAUAAUCAAUUUCUUUAGAAUUGGAUUCGAGUAAUAUACUCAAUAAGUCAUCUGCACAAGCUUCACCUGCUUCCAUUGCUUCCAAUCUUGCAUUUAUAAUUUUCCUGAUAGAUUCAUGAACAUCUUUUGCAAUUUGUUUCAUUCUUUUAUUCCUUUUUGUUGGCAAGAACCUUUGAAAAAACACAGUUUCACAACAAGCAACAAACGGUUAUAUAUCACAACUACAUUAACUGUGUAAAGGGAUCUAUCCAAGCAAUAGAAUCAAAUUUGAAGUCAAAAGUUUCUUUAGUACAGAGAAUGCCGUGAGUAAAUAACAUUUACCUCCAUCCUGGGAAGUAUACUGAUUUUAGAGCCUUUAUGUGGUAUUGAGCCUGUUCUGUUUGAAGUUCAAAUAUCCUCGUACCUUCUUUAUAGUUACUACCAAAUGCUGUCCGUGAAAUUGCAUCACAAGUCAGAGUUCGAAGAUCCGGCCAAACAUCCAACUCACAGGAGCCAUUGGUCGAAACAAUCUCCUCCCAUUUGCUCAACAUCUAACCAGCACAGGUACAAAAUGAUGGGACCAUGUGCUAUAGGCAAGAAAACCGAACAAGGGAAAAUAAGUCUGAAGAAAUGUUACUUUCCUGGCAAGAAUCCUCGGUUCAUUUUGUCUGUAGAUAUCAUAUUUUCUCUAACAUCAUAUGAUCCGCUAAGAUUUUAAUAUAUUCAUAUAACCUUAUGGAGAAAAUGGCCUGAACGCAUCUCCAUUUAUGACAAUUGGCCAAGACGCAUUUAAAUGUGAUGAAAUUAUAAUAUUUACUUAACUCGUCUCAUGAUUUUGCAUAAAUAUGUAAUUAAUGCCCUAUGGUUUUGCAUCUAUUUGUACAAUCCCCCUAUAAUUUUGUACAAAAUGAAUAGACUCCUAUUAAAUUUAUUACUUACAUAUGGGUAAUACUAACAUUUCAACUAAUUAUGCUAUGAAGACUUUUUUCACCAAAUUUUCACUUUAUAUGUGGAUAUUUUGAAAUCUUAAGGGGAUCAUUUGAUAUUUAUUAUGCUAAAGUACAAAGGGGUUACAAGUAAUUUCCCUAUUUGUUUGUUGCUUAAUCUGAUACUCUACCACUUUAUACGGGAACUCGUUCAUUUCAAUGAAAUAAUAAAUUUUCCAACAUUCCUGGUAUGACAACCUUACCUUACAGAUCCUAUCAAAAAUGAAGUGAUAGUUCACUAAAUAAACCAGAAAAAAUUAGAGAAGACCUUCAAUUUCUCCACAUGGAAAGCGGGAGUCAUGAGUUUUCUGUGUUUAGCCCAUUUAUCACCAUCAUAGCUCACCAGCCCUUGUACCAACAAUUUGGUAUCUGGAGUAUCACCAGGUUUUUGAAAGAUGGAAAGCUUUGAAGUAAUCUCCCUUAUGUGUUCAGGGUUCAUGAUCACCACUGUCAGUUUUGGUCCAAGCCAUAUGUAUGUAUUCUUACCUGAGAGUCAUUUACCACUUGUUUCAACUCAAAUUAAACAAACAUAAUAAAUCAAGGAUACUUAGGAGCCGUCACUAUCACUAAGAAUAUGAAGUAAAAUCUCGAUAAAUUAAUAACCUCUAUUAAAUAAUACUUUUUCCUAGUCCAGACUAGGCCUAACAAGUUAAAUUAAUAAUUUUAAUAAAAUAAUAAUAUAAUAAUUUUUUUUUUUGGAAAACAUUACAUAACCUUUUGGUCCCAUUCAUAUUAUAAAUUAAUAAUUACAUAUCAUAUUUUCUUAAAAUAUGAGUCUAUUGUUGUUUUUUCUUAAAAUUUAAAUCUACUUGAGUCUCAUCCCUAAGUUUUCUUAUUGUAUCUAAAAGUUUUAGAUUUGAAUUCUGAUAUUGUAAUAAAAAAUUAUGAAAAGUUAUUGAUGUUUUGAGUGCUCCCUUCCACAUAACAGUUAUGCAUGUAUACUGAAGAUAUUACUAGAAUUAAAUUAUACUUGCAAAUUAAGUAGAUACGAAUUGAUUUAUAUUGCUUAGACAUUUAGCCUCCUUUUAUUAAUAGAAUAAUUCAUAUUUUUAUAAAAUAAAAUAGAACUUUCAUUGAUUAAAUGAGUAUUUUUUGAAUUGUAAGUACACUCGAUAAAUUAAUAAUUUAUUAAUUUAUCGAUUAAUUAAUACCUCUUUAAAUUAAUAGAAUUUGUAUGGUUCUAAGGUUAUUAAUUUAUAGAGGUUUUACUGUUUUAUGGAAUAAUAAUGGAUUUGAUAAAAACCCUUGGAGUAAUUGGUAGUUUUACAGCAAUAAGUUUUGUGAUAAAAAUAAUAAUGAAUAAAUGAAACUCUACUCCUUAAAAGUAAGUCAUGAAACCAGAGAAAUGGUUUAUGAAACCUAUUAAUUGAUUCUGAUUAAUUUUUUAACAAACAUUACGAAUGGGUAUGAUUCAAAUUGAAAUUCAUUCCUUUUUUUGAAACGUGUACUUAUCAAGCACCUCCUUGUCUCUGCAUUAGUAUUGCUAUUGAUAAGUGACUAAUUUACGUAAUAAUUGUAUGACAUUUUAUAUUAUUUUUAGUCACUUUGGUUAUAUUAUUGGAAGAAUAUGAAUCAUUUUGGCUAUAAUUGGUGAAUAAAUGUUUUUAAGUGAUUAAAUGAGGUUUUUAUCACUUUUUACUUGGAUUUUGUGUAUUUUGACAGUUUUGACACAUUUUCGUAUUUCGUCUAUAACUUGAGUUACAAUGAUCGGAUUGGGAUGAUUCUUAAACCCAUUUGAAGAUAAGAGAUAGAUCUACAACUUUGGUGAAGACAUCUAAAUCCAGUUUGAAGGUUUUCCAGGUCAAAUUGCCGAAUUACAAUAGCAAAUUUCUACUGGUCGAAGCUGGAACAGGGCAAUGAGCAGGUAAGGGUAUUUCGGUCAUUUCUCAGCCUACACAGAUCCAAAUGAGGUGAUUCUUGAUGCAUUGGAAAGCUAACUCAAAGGGCUACAAGUUUCAUGUUUUGGUCAAGAGCUAAAUCAGCUUUUAUCAUCAAGAAAAAUGCAGUUGAAAUUGAGUCAAAAUCGGAGCAGAGCUGGAAAUUGAACCAGAAGUGACCAAAUGGUCACUGUAUCAAUCCGGCCGGAAUUUGGCCGGAUUGCGGUCAGAAAAGGCUGCUCUGUACGCGUAAAACUCAAUUUCACUCCCACCAACUCACAUGUGAUGCUAUACAUGUGAGAAACAUUCCCAGCUGUAAAAGGGAGAUGUAAUCCUCAUUUCUUGACCACCUUUCAUCAUUAAAGAGCAAAAUUCAUUGCAAGAAGAUGGAGAGGGGAGUCCAUAGCAAAAAAAAUAGAGAGUGAGCUACGGGGAAAAGCUUGAAGCUGCAGAAAUGUAGCUCUUUCAUCUCCCUAGUGUUAGUUUAGCUUAGUAUAGAGUAGUGUAGCUUUUCCAUUCUUGUUUAUUAUCUAGAUUAGGAUGAAGAUGGAGGAUGAAGAAGGCAAGGAAGAAAGCUCAUGUGACAAGGGUUGUAUUCCUUCCAAAUUCUUUAUCUUUUGUAUUUGAUUCCAAGUUUAGUUAAUAUACAAGUUCUGGAUUUUGUGUUUAAUAUGUGUUUCUAAAGUUUAUACCUUGGGUUUGGUUGAACUUUCUAUAAUUGUUAGUGUUUAUUAUUUGGUUAUUUGAUUGCUAUGAUUUGAGCAAGUUAUUUAGCACUUUGGCUCUUUAAAUCAUGAUUAAUCUGGUACCAUUGAUUGUGAUUAUCUAAGGUGUUGUUUCUGCAAUGGAAAUUGAGAUUUAACACUAGUUCAAGAAGUGCUAAACAUAGGGAGUACACUCACGAAAGUAGAGGUGCAUCUAUGUGGUUUUUAGUGAUUCAUUUCAUGUAAUUUCAUUGAAGAAAUGAACUUGUAGCUAAUUUCAUAACCAUGAGAAUAGGUAUGGAUUAGUUAUAAGUAUAAUUGAUUCACUACGAAAGUAGGAUUCAAAUGCAUAAGGAAAUUACACCAUAACUAGCCUAGAUGUAGUAAUUAAUGAUCCAAAUAUAGCACUUGCAUGAGUAGUUAGGGAUACCACAACCUAAGGAGCUUUCAUUUGCUAUUUUUUGCAUAAUUUCAGUAGGUUUUAAUUUGUUAUAAUUCAUUGAUAGUCUAAAUAAUAGAGAAGCUUUAGUAAUACCGGUAAUUGUUCACUCUUCCCUGUGGGAUCGACCCGAUAUAUACCCUAAACUACUAGUUGAUCUGUAUACUUGCAGUGAACGGGUGUAAUUCGGUAUUUUUUAGCUUGCACGUAUGUAAAAUACCCGUCAAGUUUUUGGCGCCGUUGCCGGGGAAGAUUUGGCAAUAUCGGUGUGAAGAGCAACUUUAUUAGUUUAGACAUAUUAUUAGUUAUAUUGUGAAUGUUAUUUUCUGUUUUUUAGUAUUUUUUAUGUGUAUGUGUUUUAUCACCUAUUCUUUUUACUAAUUUUGCUCUUAAGUUGUUUAAAAGCAUUUUUAGGUGAUGAGAAGAGUAGGUCAAGUUGGAGGACAAUGCUUGAGAAAUGGAAGAUUGGCAAUGGAUGGUUACCAAGUGCAAAGCUCCUUCAACAGAGGUAACCAAGAAUUUACUGAAGAUAUGUCUUUUGAAGAUGGUUUAAGGUGCUUAAAGGCAAAAUUUGAUGUAAUUAAGUUACAAGUUCAAAUGGACACCAUGAUGCAUGAAAUUGAGCAGAGGAGGAAUGUUAUUGUUUUUAAUUCUUAUCAUGUGAUUUGUGACUUGUGUGGAGGUUAUCAUGUUACUAAUACAUGUAUGCAAGUACAAAAUGUGGAUUAUUAUGAUGAAUUAGAGCAUUACAAUCCUUGUUUUGAUCAAUAUAGUGCUAAUUGGAGCAAUUCUCCUACUUAUGGUUGGGAUAAUCAAUGUACUUAUAGUGACUCUCCUUAUUUUUAUGAUUACCAAUCUGAAAGUGUCCAAUAUGAAUCAAAACCAUCUUGGGAGUUGGCAAUAGAGAAGUUAGCUAAUGCACCUCUGCCUUGGGAAUUAGAGAAUGAACCAUUAGCUAAUGAUUCUAAUGCAUUUUGGGAACUAGCUGCAAAAAAUUAUUCUAAUCAAUUUGAUUUAGCAAUAGAAAAGCUAACAAAUGCAACUUCCGACCGUUUUGAUAGGAUUGAGGAAAGAAUAGAUGAAUUAGCUUCUCACUUUGGUCAAAUACAUGAGCAAUUGAGUGCAUUGUGUGAAGUUAUUUCCUCUAAUAAUGUGCAAAAUGAUCCUAGCAUGAAUGGUGGGAAUGUUGUAUGUGAAAAUGGGUUGCAUUUUGAUGAAAAUGAUGAAUCUCAAUUGUGUUUCAAUGAGCAAAUGUCCAUUUCACAUGAUAAUAUCUUUGGAACUAACUUUGAACCUCAAGAGGUGAGUUUUAAUGACUCAUUUUUCACCCCUCUUGAGGAGUGCAUUGAAAGUACAGGUUUUAAAGAUAUUCCUACCCAAGAUACUUUCAUGCCAUUUCCUUUGGUAAGUUCUCAAGUGGUGCAUAUUCAAGGUAAUAUCUAUGAAACACUUGGAAUAUGUAAGUCAUUUCCAUUUCUCACAUCAUUAGAUCAUGUGGCUUUUUCUAUUAAGUCACCAUACAAUGAUCCACCACGGCCUAAAAUGGUGGAUUAUUCGUUAACUAAGCCUCCUUGAAAAAUGAGGUGAUAUAGUCAAGCUAUUGACUUUAAAGAAGCGCUUAUUGGGAGGCAACCCAAUGCUUAUUUAAGUUGGUGUUACUUUGGAGUGAUUUUAUGUUUAAAGUAUAAGUUUGAGUAAUUUUGUUGUUUUUCAUUUGUAGGUUUUGGAAAAGUGACCAAAUGAGGUGAAAAGACGAAGUUCGAUCAAAGAUCUCAAUACCUCAAUUUCAGUAAUUAUGGUUUUUGAUGCAUUAAAGAGGUUUAGAAUGCAUGUUUAGAUCAUUUUACAUGUGCGUGAAUGGUUUAUUUUGACAUAGAAAUGAUCUAGGGUGUAUUUUGAAGAAUUGAGGUCAAACUGAAAAUUGCAAAAAUUCUGCAAUAAGUGCAGAUUCAAUGGAUCCGAGGCCUCGGAUCCACUUCUGCAAUCAGAAAAAAAUUUGAACUUCUUGAUCCGAGCUCAUUCACAAUGAUCCGACCUCGGAUCCUUUCAAAAACGACCUCGGAUCCUGUUAAAAACGAAGGCUUGGAUCACUUUUCAACUCCACUUUUCUUCAUGUUGGCUUGUUUUUAGUAAGUUUUAGUUGUUCGAUUAAUGUUUUUGUGUGUUUUGUAGGUGGCAAUGGCAAGAGUUCAUGCAAAUGAUCUCAAUUGCAAAGGUGUUUAAAUUAAGGCAAAAAGGGAGUUUUCAUGUUCAAUUGCUGCAUUUCAUGCAUUUAAAGUGUUUCAUGUUUAAGUUAUAUUCAUGCAUGAUCAUGAUAAAGUUGAAUUUUAUUCAAAGAACAUGAAGUAGGUUGAAUGUGGAAGGUUGGCCAAGCAAAUUUGGAGGAAAAACUGCAGAAAACAGCUUUUUCUGCAGCAAAUCCGGCCAUAAAUCCGGCCAAAUGUUGGCCGGAUUGAAGGCCGGAUAGUCAGGGGAGAAAAGAAAAUUUUUUCGAGCAUUCUGGAUAGAAUCCGGCCGAAAAUCCGGCCUGAAAUCCGGCCAAAAACUGGCCGGAUUGUAAAAAAAAAAAUAAAAAAUAAAAAAAUCUGCCCAGAAUCCCUCCAGCAAUCCCUCCACGAAUCCCUCCAAUUUCUGGCCGGAUUGUGAACAGUAACCAGCGUAAGAUGAAUCCGUUUCACGGAUUCCUCACAAUUUUUCUCCCUUCUUCUUCAACCCAACUCACACACUAACACCUCAAACACACACCACUCACUAAAACACCACUUUUCACAAUUUAAUCUUCAAAUAACCUUCACCAAAUCACUUUCUCCUAUCCUCUAGAGUGAAUUUCAUAGUUCAUAUUUUUUCAAAAACAACUCUAAAGUGGUUUCAAGCUUACCAUUAGUUAGGGUUCUACCUUCUUGAAAUCACUCAAUUGAGGUCAAAUUGGAGUAAGUUUUUUGAGGGUUUUCACAUCAUAUUGAUCUCUAAACAUCACCAAACCACCUUGAGGUAACAAUUCUUCACCUAACUUUGUUAUUUGAAUUUUGCCAUGAUUGAAUAUUUUCUAUUUUUAGGCAAUUUUUAAUAUGUGAAGUUAGGUGCAUUUAUUUCAGCUUAUUGAUGCUAUUGGUGAUUGUUAGUGAUAACUAUAUUUUGUGAUUUGCAUUUAUUGUACUUAUUUGGUGAAUUCUUGCUAGUUUUAUGCUUAAUUUGGCUUGAUGACGAAGUUGCAUAUUAAGUAGCCAAAUGUAGCAUUUUAAUUAGCUUAGUGGGAGUUUUUUAUAUUUAUGUGAGUAAUUUAGAUUAUCUAAUGAAUGAAAAGGUGCUUGAUUGAAUGAUUUUGUGAAUUCUUAGGUAAUUCUAAAAGAAGAGGUGAAUUGAAGAUGACCUUAAUUGAUGAAAUUCAUAAAUGCACUUACAAUUUUUGUGGUUCAAUAGUUUUUAGUAUUUCAUGAAUUCUCACGAAGGUCAUUUAUAUUUUGGUUUGGUGUGUUUGCCUCCAUUUUGAGAUUACUUUUGUACUUGCGGGGAUUUGAUCAUUGAGGACAAAAUGUAUAAAUGGAACUUAUUUUGUUCAUGAUUGUGGAUUUUUUGUGUGAAAUUAGCUUCCCUUUGCUUUGGAUACUAAUGCAUAUAUUUGAUUAGUAAAGAUUAGCUCAUUUCAUGUUUUUAUCCCUUGAACAUUGUAUGGUUCCACAUGCUUGAUCAUUUUUCCUUUUUCCUUGAAUUGCAACCUUUUAUUUUUAAGAAAUUUAUUUUUUUUUAUUUUGUCUUUUUCAGGGUGCAAUAAGUGAACUUCCAUUCUUUCUCAAAUACGGUUGGAAAUUCAUCACUUGGACAUGGAUUUGGAUUGCGCAAGUCAUAAGGGGAGUAUUUUCUUUUACUCUUUCUUUAUUUUCCUUUUCUCACAUUGAGGACAAUGUGAAGUUUAAGUGUGGGGGAGGAAAUAUGUGAACUUGCAUUCUAAUGCUAUGUGAUGAUAUUUUGUGGAUUUAAAUGCUUAGAAAUAUUGGAAUUGUGUUUGAAUUAUUUGCCAUGUGGAUAAUUUGCUUGAAAUUGGGUUUGUUGGCAGGGAGUUUUCAUCCAUUUAUAAGGAGAAACUCUGUAAAAAUUUUUCUAAAAUCUUUUCCAAUAUUUCACUAUGGCCCAAAAGUUCUUCAAAUUUUUGCAUUUUCAUUCAAAAAGGGCAAAGUAUUCCAACCUUAAGUGUUUUAUUCUUCCAAUUGUUGAAACUUUAUGUGUAUUUUGGAAGGUUUAGUCCUCAUUUAACUUGGAAAUAGUUAUUAUGCAAUUAGAAUUUUUACAUUUUAGAAAGUAUAUUUGGUAAAGUGAGGAAAAUUAUGCCUAUAAUUUUACAUGUUUAAUGAGAUUUCUUCUCUUUAUUUAAUUUUGCAAGUAAGUGAUUGAUAUAGUCGAUAAAGGUUAUACUCCUCCUUCGAUUAUUUUUAUAUAUUUUUCUAUGAGGGAAAAAUAAAUAAAUAAAUAAAUAAAUAAAGGAAAAAAAAAGAAAAGAAAGUAAAUAAAAAUUGUUCUACUCCAAUGAUUCUCAUACCCAGUAACUGGGGGUUGGCAUCUAAAAAUGUCGAUUUUCGCGUAAAAAGGUAUUUGAAUUAAGAGUAUGCAUAGCAACUUGAAUAAGUGAAAUGUUGAGUAACCGGGGAUCUUCACCUAAAAGUGUCGAUUUUCGCGUCAAAAGGCUUUCUCACUAUUUAAGUAAAAUUAGUGUGAAUAAAUCCCUCUUAGUUGUAGAAUUUUGAAAAAAGGAUAAUUAUAGGAGGAGGAAGGCUAUAAAUUGACUAUGUGAAUUGCUUAUUUGUAAAAUUAAGUUAGGGUAAGAGAUUAAGUUUAACUUGUUGAAUUAGGGUAUAAUUAUCUUUCCUUUACUUGAUAUUAUGAGUAUUUAAUGUAAUUUGAACAAUUGUAUAAUGAUUAAUUUCCAAGUCUUGAGGAAUUAAAGUUGACAAAAGUGCAUAUAUUGUUUCACCUCUUGAAUCAUUGUAGUUGCUUAUGUGUGGAUUGCUUGAGGACAAGCAAUGAUUUAAGUGUGGGGGAGUUUGAUAAGUGACUAAUUUACGUAAUAAUUGUAUGACAUUUUAUAUUAUUUUUAGUCACUUUGGUUAUAUUAUUGGAAGAAUAUGAAUCAUUUUGGCUAUAAUUGGUGAAAAAUACUUUUAAGUGAUUAAAUGAGGUUUUUAUCACUUUUUACUUGGAUUUUGUGUAUUUUGACAGUUUUGACACAUUUUCGUAUUUCGGCUAUAACUUGAGUUACAAUGAUCGGAUUGGGAUGAUUCUUGAACCCAUUUGAAGAUAAGAGAUAGAUCUACAACUUUGGUGAAGACAUCUAAAUCCAGUUUGAAGGUUUUCUAGGUCAAAUUGCCGAAUUACAAUAGCAAAUUUCUACUAGUCGAAGCUGGAACAGGGCAAUGAGCAGGUAAGGGUAUUUCGGUCAUUUCUCAGCCUACACAGAUCCAAAUGAGGUGAUUCUUGAUGCAUUGGAAAGCUAACUCAAAGGGCUACAAGUGUCAUGUUUUGGUCAAGAGCUAAAUCAGCUUUUAUCAUCAAGAAAAAUGCAGUUGAAAUUGAGUCAAAAUCGGAGCAGAGCUGGAAAUUGAACCAGAAGUGACCAAAUGGUCACUGUAUCAAUCCGGCCGGAAUUUGGCCGGAUUUAAGGCCGGAUUUAUGGCCGGAUUGCGGUCAGAAAAGACUGCUCUGUACGCGUAAAACUCAAUUUCACUCCCACCAACUCACAUGUGAUGCUAUACAUGUGAGAAACAUUCCCAGCUGUAAAAGGGAGAUGUAAUCCUCAUUUCUUCACUACCUUUCAUCAUUAAAGAGCAAAAUUCAUUGCAAGAAGAUGGAGAGGGGAGUCCAUAGCAAAAAAAAUAGAGAGUGAGCUACGGGGAAAAGCUUGAAGCUGCAGAAAUGUAGCUCUUUCAUCUCCCUAGUGUUAGUUUAGCUUAGUAUAGAGUAGUGUAGCUUUUCCAUUCUUGUUUAUUAUCUAGAUUAGGAUGAAGAUGGAGGAUGAAGAAGGCAAGGAAGAAAGCUCAUGUGACAAGGGUUGUAUUCCUUCCAAAUUCUUUAUCUUUUGUAUUUGAUUCCAAGUUUAGUUAAUAUACAAGUUCUGGAUUUUGUGUUUAAUAUGUGUUUCUAAAGUUUAUACCUUGGGUUUGGUUGAACUUUCUAUAAUUGUUAGUAUUUAUUAUUUGGUUAUUUGAUUGCUAUGAUUUGAGCAAGUUAUUUAGCACUUUGGCUCUUUAAAUCAUGAUUAAUCUGGUACCAUUGAUUGUGAUUAUCUAAGGUGUUGUUUCUGCAAUGGAAAUUGAGAUUUAACACUAGUUCAAGAAGUGCUAAACAUAGGGAGUACACUCACGAAAGUAGAGGUGCAUCUAUGUGGUUUUUAGUGAUUCAUUUCAUGUAAUUUCAUUGAAGAAAUGAACUUGUAGUUAAUUUCAUAACCAUGAGAAUAGGUAUGGAUUAGUUAUAAGUAUAAUUGAUUCACUACGAAAGUAGGAUUCAAAUGCAUAAGGAAAUUACACCAUAACUAGCCUAGAUGCAGUAAUUAAUGAUCCAAAUAUAGCACUUGCAUGAGUAGUUAGGGAUACCACAACCUAAGGAGCUUUCAUUUGUUAUUUUGUAUAAUUUCAGUAGGUUAAAUUUGUUAUAAUUCAUUGAUAGUCUAAAUAAUAGAGAAGCUUUAGUAAUACCGGUAAUUGUUCACUCUUCCCUGUGGGAUCGACCCGAUAUAUACCCUAAACUACUAGUUGAUCUGUAUACUUGCAGUGAACGGGUGUAAUUCGGUUUUUUAACUUGUACGUAUGUAAAAUACCCGUCAGCUAUGAUGCUAUCUUUAUGUUUUUCUUUUAUAAUUCUAAAAACGUGAUGAUGUUAAAACUUAGAACUUGGAAGUUGGAACCAAGAUUCAGGAGGUACUUGACCUCCUGAACUCCUGCCAGUAGCUGAAAAUCAGACGGCAUUGUAUGCCACACCUCCGUCCUAAUGUGCCAAGGUUCAACUCUCAUUGCUGCAAUUUGCACUACCGCCUCUUGGUUGGGAUCCUCUCUGUUGAUCCCUCCUUAAAUUAUAUCUAAAUUACUAUAACUGAAUAAUUGUCCGAUUAUGUCAUUUCUUUUCUUUUAAUCCGUAGAUCAACAUACUAAAAAAUGAUUCUUUCAAGAACAUUUUGAUGUUUAGUUUAUUCAAAAUAUUUGAAUGAUAAAAAAUAGGUCAAAUUUGGGACAUAUUUUGUAAUGAUUAAUCAUGCAACAAACUUAGUCAAUUUCUUAUGAAAGUAUAUGUAUAAGUAACAUAUCUGAGUCUAAUCCCCUUCUCGACCAAUAUCCCCUCUAGUUUCAAAAGAUAUAUAUAAUCCUCUUAUAAUUUAGAUUAAAGUGUCAAAGUGAAGGAAAUGAUCAUUUGUAGUGGAGCCCAUAAAAAUGUUGAAAUUAUCCUUGUUUAAAAACUAAAAUGACUGAAGUUUCAAAUUAAGGGUCUUAACAAUUAUCUCUUUUGAUUUUUUGAGAUAAUGUAAGCACGACAAUGGUAGAUGUAAACACAACAUGCUAACAAGAUAGGACUGUCAAUGGGGCUGGGUCAGCCCGAGCUCGGCUCAUUCGGCCUGACAAAAAGCCCGAUGAGUCCGACAUUUUAGUGAGCCGGUCUGAAUUUGAACCUAAAAAUUAAGCCCAAAUUAAAUAUGAGCCGAGCUUGGGCCCUAUUAGGUUCAAACCCGAUAUAGGCCCGACCCUUUAAUUAUUUGUAUAUAUAUAUAAUAUUUAUAUUUUGAUAUUAUGUAUAAUUAUAUAUCCAAAUAUAUUAUUAUUAAAUACUAAAUAUAUAUAUAUAUUACAAAAUAUAAAAAUACCUCUAAAGACUCUUCCAUGAACUUUCUUGAGAGCCAAUAUUUGUGACGCAUAACUGAAUCUCUAACUUUUUUUAUUGGUUGAAUAAAUUUUUGUGUUGGUAUAAUAUUGGUUGAUUUCUUUUUGAUCUACAAACAUAAAUCAUCAAGCAUGUUUGGAUUCAAAUCACAAGAUUAUAAAAAAAAAUUUCAACUUUUAAAGAUGUAUUGGCUUAUGAUCGCAUAUUUUAUUACUAUUUUUCAUGCAUUUUGAAUGAAUUAAAUAUAAAUAUUGUUGAAAAAAUUUUGAUUUAUAUACUUUUUAAGAACUAUUAUUUGUUGAUGUUUAGUUUUAAUAUUAUAGUUUUGUAAAUGUUAAAUUAGUUUUACAACUUAAUAGUUAUAGUAAUUAUAUUAAGAAAAUUAAGGAGUAAUAAGUGAGCUUGGGCUAAACCCGAUUAAGGCUCACAACCCGAAUAUUAUGUGAGUUGAGUAUGAGUUUCACAUUUAUGAACUCGAAACUCAUAAUCUGAAACCCGAAAAUGUUCCAAAUUAAAUGAGUUGAGGUUAAACUUAUGAAAGUCCGACUCAUUAGGCCCGAUUGACAGGCUUAUAACAAGAGGCACGCUAUCACAUAAAUAAUAUUAUUUUCAAGAUUCACUAUCUAUUAUACCAUUUUCAACUAGAAAGGUUAGAGAUAUACAUUGUUUGGUGCAAUUACACUUAACAAUUGUUUAUUUGAAACUUCCAAAAUAGAAAAUUUAUUAAGAUGGAAGAUUAAGUGUGACUUAAAGCAAAAAAUUAUAUUCGUCAAAAACAAAACAAAAAAUCUUGAAACAUGAUUACAAUUAUUGAAGAAAUCCAUGAAAUGUUUGCAAAGAAAGCAUCACAUAAUUGAAAAGAAGAUAGUACUUGCCAUAUUUCUUGACGGCUUCAUGGAGAUGAGGAAUAACUCUUGGGAAUAAGUCAUCAGAGAGAUUGAUUGUCUUGGAAUGAGCUUCCUUGAGCAAGGUUGAAAUCUGUUUGAAGUCUCCAUAGAGAAAUUUGUAAGGAUUUCCUCUGAGACCUUGCUCUUUCAGCCGCUUCUCCAGCCUCUUGGGAGUUAACCACGCGCAGUUGAAUACUUUCCAUGCAAGCACUAGAAAGUAUAAAAGAAUACAAGAACAAAGUACAGCUAUAGGACUGUAGGCUGUCUCCAUUAUUGAGUUGCAGAUGAAAGGUUUUUUUUUUGCGUUCAGCUGCUCUAGCUUGCAUUCAUAUUUACACUUGGAAGUUGAAGAAAGUUAUCGUUAGAGUAAAUUACUUAUAACCCCCUAUGAUUUUAUAUAAUGCUAGAUGAUUUCCCUAAGGUUUCAAAAUAGCCACAUAACCCCCUGUAGUUUUAUGUAAAGUAGCAAAUGGAUAGAAUACACAAUCGGUUAUGACAUUUAUACUAAACACGCACUAAAAGCAAGUGUGAUAAAAUUUUAAUUUCCAUAUCACCCUUUUAUGGUAUGUAUAAAUAUUCACUUUGUCCUCCAGUGAUUUUUUCCAUUUAUUCACGUAAUCCUCUGAUACUUUUAUACCAGGCAAUUAAGCUGUCGAUUGAUUUAGUAUUUAAGUAAGGGCAUUUUGGAAUUUCAAUUAACAACAUUACAUAGAUUAUAUUUCGUUAAGUUUUCACUUUACGUAAAAUUAUAGGAGAAAUGAAGUGGACAUUUUGAAAUGUUAGAAGGGGUCAUGUGGCAAUAGACGAAACUACAAGGGGGAGAUGUAUAUAAUUUACCCUUAUCUUUACGACAUCCAAAGAACAAAAUUUAAAAUUUGGGCUUUGAUUUAUGUUCCAGAAUUACCAAAGUUGUGAUGUCAAAGAAAAAUAAAGAAUUGUCCAUUGGGUGGCAGGUGGUUUCAACGUUAAUCAGGUUGAUACCAUACUAUUUGUUUGUGAUGUCAAAGAAAAAUAAAGAAAUGUUCAUUGGGUGGCAGGUGGUUUUCAACGUUAAUCAGGUUGAUACCAUACUAUUUGUUUUAGUACAUCAACUUAUUACUUGAGGGGCCUUUUUUUCUUAAUAUUUUACAGAAGUUUCAGAGUUCGAAAACAUAAUCGAUUCUAAAGUUAAGGCAAGAAACUGCCACAUAGACAUAUAUUCUUACAAACUGUCUAGCAGUUGUCAUCAAAAUUCAAGCAAUAAUUAGAGAAUUAGAGUUCAAAUAUAAUACAGUGGCUUAUAUGCUCUUACCCCAAAAUUUCAUUUCAUAGCUAAAAUUAAUAAUUUUUCAGUUGCAAUGUAGACUCGUCUAAAAAUUUGUUACACUCAAAUGGAUUUUUCAAAAAUUGAUUGCAGAUAAUUUUCCUUUAGUCUCACAUUGUUCACAAUGUUGUUAAUAUUACGAUUUUUGUAUGUGAUAAACACGGUUUUUAUUUUAAAUAAGAUCUGUUUAUUAAAUAAUAAAAAAUAAUUACAUAAAGCCAGGAAAUUUGAGCCUUGCCACCCUAUUUUACGGAGCUGCAAGCAUAAUGUGUUUAACGUAAACUCCAAGUGAGAAUUUGCCUGUGACAUUCUCAACACUGAUGGUAGCACAAAGGCGUCUGGAUUUGAUUUUAGAAUCCUGUCAAGUUUAAAAUUAUUUUCCUAGUAUUGGAGUAAUCCUUCCACUUUUGAGACUUCUUUGAAACUACCGGAAUAAAUUAUAUCCCAAGAGUUAUUCACUCUACCACUUCAAUUUUUUUAACUACUUCCUAGGUCACCUGUAAAGUUAGGUUCAUUUGAAUUGCUAUUUUUAGAAAUUUUUAUAAUAAAAAAAUCUACUGUAUAGAUUUGAUGUAUGUGAGAUAAAAAGGUGAUUGAGAAAUGUGUUCGGGAAAAAUAUAAAAAAAUUUUGUUUAGAAAAUUGAAAUCUAAACAUGGCCUUACUUUCACAAGAAAUUUGGUUGAAUUUCAAGGAAAAAGAGUCUUGAGAAUCCUUAAAUGACUGUAUCAUCUUCUCUCACGGUCACCUAUCUAAACUCGGGUAUUCAGCAACUUCCAACGUUUAACUUAUUUAAAUGCAUCUUACUUUUCUAGAGGUAGGUACUUCGUUGAAAUUUCUAGAUGUAAGAAAUUUCUUAUAAUUAUAAGGCUUGUUUACUAAAUCAUCUACUCCAUAAAUAGAGAGUUUAAUAUUGUUGUUAAUUGAAAAAAGUAAAAUUUGAUAGCCUUGUUAUUAUGUGUGAUUAUUGAUAUAUUAUCAAUAUUUUUCCUCUUCUCCCACAUAUAUUUGUAUGUGUGUAAAUUGCCUUUCCAUAUACAUUGAUUUUAUGAAAUGUAUGUCAAACAAAUUUUGGUAGAAUUUUUUGGGUUCUACAUUUAAUAUGUUAAUAUUGUCUCUCUUAUAUCAAACUCUCUCCUGGAUCAGGUUUAAACACAAUCACGAACAAUAAUCUCCCUUAUAAAUUCGCCCAACAUCACUUUAUACUAGUUCUUCAUCUUCAAAUACUUUUCUCGUUGCAAUAAUCCAUGCACCUAAAUAGAUUGUUUCCACCGCACAAUUUGAUAUCAAUUUAUUGACAACUCACGUUGUAAUUUUGAUAAUCACAAUUCAACUGACAGGAUUCUUCACCGAUCUCUGUCUUUGCAAUCAUAAUCAAUCAGACAAGUCUCGGACCAAUCUUAUGAUCCAAUCUUCAUCGACUAGAUUUUUCAAGGCCAACUUGUGGUUAAACUCAAUCAACUGAAUUUUUCAUAGCAAUUCUUAAACUCACUGAUAGGGAAACAAGCAACAUUGUGUUCAGCGAUCAGACAACAGAAAACCCCAGACUAACCUCAUAGACGGGACCAUUUUUCGAUAUUCACAAGCAAGUAACAUCUCUCGAUAUUGCUUGAUCUUGUUUUGUUUUGCAUUGAUUUUGACCUCUUCUUCAUGACUCUCGUGUCAGUAUCUGCACUAACUUCAACUGCUGCACUAUUUUCCUCUACAACAAGCAUGCUGGUCUGACCAUCACCAACUUGCGGCAGCUGAUUGAGUUUAUGCCAACCUUGAAAAUUAGCCAUUGAUUUGAACUUAAAAAAUACAACAAAAAGAUGCUGAAAUUAAUUUGCCUUUAGCAUUAUGUAAGGGAUAAUCAAUUACGGCUGUCUUAUCCAUAUUCAAAGAAUAUGUGAAAUUUUAUAUUAACUUCAAUUCCAUUGUAAGAUUACAGGAGAUAACUUAAAAGGCUAAAGUUUGUGGAAUAACUUUAAAAUAUUAACAUGUGUGGCGCCUAUCACGUAGAAUUCUGUUGAAAACAUUUUUAAAGUACAUUGUAAAUUUCUAAAACAUAAAAAGUGACUAUGGAUAAGAUUCAUCUAAAAAAAAUGACUUCAAAAACAGAUAUAAUAUGUGCAAUGUGAUAGAAACUCUUAAAAAUCAGUAACUGUGCCAUCUUUUAAUUUAUCUCUGUCGUAUAAAUCGUAUGUCAAUUAAAGUAGAAUUGUUCUCAUAUUAAUGUCUCGUAUACUGUUAUACACCUCUCUUUAAAAAGACAAUUAGAAUAGAGGUAUUUAAUAGAAAAUAAUAUUGAUAACAGACAAUUUAUAAUAGAGGCGGUUUUGACUUGUACAAUUACGCAUGGGUCAUGAGUAUUGUGGUGGCUCUUGUUGACAUAACUUCUACCAAUUACUUUAUGUUGCUUUCUAAAUUUUUUGGCUAGUUCAUGAUGACAAUUGGUCCAACAAACAUGACAGGCAAAUCAGUUUUUGGAUUUUGUUUCUGUUCGACUUUACGUGCAAUUUUUUUCCUGUCUGCCCUUUUGUUUCCUGGUCUAUGCUUUCAGCUUUCUUUACUUCAUUGACCAAAUAAUUGUUCUUUUAUAGACAUAAACAAAAGAAUUUUAUUCAAACAAAAAAAAAGAACUUUAUUUGUUGUCCUAUCUCGGGUCUGCAUUUGUUGUACCUUCAAAAUUUUUUAUGUAGACAAUUCCAUGGUAAUAAUUUUAGGAGUUUCUCAUUGAUCUGUUACCAUUCGGUCGUUUAUUUUCUUUCUACCCCUUUAUUUUAAUCAAAUAAUGUUGGUAAAUUUGAUCAUUAAGAACGUGGUUUAGGAGAUUAUGACUGAAAACUAGAAAAUAAUUUCUGUUAAACCUAGCUUACUUUUCAAUAGUAUUUGAAUACCAUGCUUUAUUAUUAUUAUUAUUGGUUAUCUACAUUCCAUGCUAUGAAGCCAUUUUCAUUAUUUGUUCUUUGCCAUAUUUUUUUAUCAUAUAUAUCUAUAUAUCUAUAUAUAUAUAUUCGGAUGGACGGUUAGGAUUAACUCAAGGAGAGAGAAAAUUAUUUAAAAUUUGAAAUUUGAAUUUAAAAUUCAAAUUUCUUUGGCUACGUUUUUCCUAGCAUCAUUCGAGAUUUUUGACCUUUGAAACCAGUUCUGAGCUACAACAAACCCAACAAAAUAUUUGAAUAAUUUUCUCAAAACUCAUUAAAUUUAAAUUGCAGGAAUAUUUCAUUUACUAAGUUAUAAACCUACAGAAUAAUAGCGAAAUUACUUAUAAGCAAUAUUAAAUCUAAAUCAGGAAUUUCCAGUUAUGUAUUCAUCCUACAGCGUGUGCAUAAUCAAUGGAGCACCAUACUCUAAUUUAACUGAUAUCAAUUAGAUGGGAGCAUGGAUAUAGUGAAAACCAAUGUUUUGAAACUCGGACUGGCCAGCAAACCGAAGAGGGGGCUUGUCCGAUCGGUCCAAUCGGCAGGUUCAACGGUUUUCUGCUCUUUUUUUUUUUGCAACUUUAGUGUUAAGUACUUUAUAGGUCUUCAUUCUACACUACAAUUUAACAUGGUUAUUGAUAACUUAAGUUUCUAAAAUGCAUUCACCAACAUAACUAAAUUUAAGUUGAGAUAAUAACAAAUUUCCUAAAAGUUAUACAUAAAACCUAGAAUGAUAAACAUAAUUAAAAUAUCAUAAUUCACAAGUUUUCAUAAAUUCAUUACAAACAUAAAUAGAUAAAAUCCAAAUGUUCACCAAUUAUCACAAAUAAAAACACAAAAAUAAAUAAAAUAAAUAUUGAAAUUCUUUUACAAUCCUUAAAAAAGUUCAUAAAAGAGUCCAACUCAUAUUCAAGACAAACCAUUUGAAUAACAAACUUCCAUCAGUGGCAUGAUAAGCAACAACACCACCUUCACAAUUUCAUCAACUUAACCUGAAAAAGUUAAAAUUUUAUUAUAAAAAUAUAAAUCUAAUUGCUCAAACUCAAAAAACAAACCAAAAAAUUUUGAAAAACAAAGAUACAACUAAACACAUAAAAAAUUAAUUGCUACUAAACAUCACUAAUUAACAUGUUAUAUUACCAAUCAAUAAAAAAAAUCUAAUAUAUAGAAUAAAUGAAACUUUCGAGUAAGAAUAACUCUAACCAGCUUUAAAUGAAACAAACAUCAAUUGAGAUACAGUCAAUUUUGUGCCAAUAAAUUUAAUGGUUCUAACGACGCUAGCGGCAAGUGUAAAUAAAUGGUCAAUUGAUGGGAUCCUGAGGUUACCAUUUACGAAUUUACCAAGACAUACAAACAUGUGAUCCGAUUUGGCACUUUUUUUUUAAGCUUUUUGUUUGACAACUUUCACAAAUCAACUUUAACAUGUCUUUAAUUUUGUUGCUUCAAUGAAACCUAUAAAAUUCAAGAUGAAUGAGCGUUCGGUAAACUAAUUACUUCAGCAUAGAAAAAGCAAUAAAAACACAAUAAACAGCAUAGAAAAAACAUAACAAUCAUUGAUACAAAAUUUAUUAAUUUGAUACUUCAUCCAUGUCUAAUUUUAUUAAUUUAAUACUUCAUCCAAAAAAUAGCUUCUCCAAAUAUGAUUGCAAAAUAAUUAAUGAUUCAUAAUUUCAUCCUUAAUUAAUCAAAUAAAAAUAAAACAAAAAUUAGGGGAAACGGAUGAAAAUUGAGAGAAAAAAGAAGAAAAUGCAAAAAAAAUGGGCUAAAGAUAAUAAUAUAGAAAACCAAAACCUUGAAAAGGGAAAAAUUAAACUUACCAAGAUGAUGGAAAACAGGAAAAGCUCUUGAGUCUCAAAUAUCAUGUGAAAGUUGAAAUUUCUAACUUGUCUACAAUCUGCUAAAGAUGAUAGUCUGAUAAUAAUGGUGAAGGGUUGAGAAAAUCUUGUUGUGGAUAUUUGGGUUUGAAAGGGUUAAGAAGAAAAAAUUGAAAAACAAAAUUCAAGAGGAGAACUGGAGGAGCCGUUGGCCUAGAAGCCUGAAGCUGAGUAAGUGAUGGAUUGAAAGAAAAAUGCGUCUGUUGUUUCUUUUCUUAAUGUUAAGGUUUUAUUUUUUUUAAUCUAUUUUUUAGUCAAGUAGAAUUCUUAGGACAAAUUGAACUUGUUGGUCUAGUGGUAAGAUUGUCUUAUGUGAACAUGGAGACCCAGGUUUGAAUUUGCGCAGCUUCAUUCUUAACAUUUUGUUUGAAAAUUUAAAAAUCGCCGGUUAUGGUUUGUACGAUUUUUAACGGUUCAUACGGUUCGAUCAGUUUCUAGUGAUUUUUCAUUAACUUCCGGGUUUGAUACUAGACCGGACCGGUGGUAUGUCCGGUUCGCGGUCUAACCGGUCGAACCGGCCGGUCCGGUCCGGUCCGGUUCUGAAAACAUUGGUGAAAGCUCGAUGAAGAAGCAUUGCAGAAUAAUUGCCAGAGCCAACAGAUUUGCUUCCAAAAUAGCAAAACUUUUGCCAAUCCUGCAAUACAUGUACGAGGCCCCCAACCAAAUUGCAAGAAAAGCUUUCUGGAUUGAACUCUUUCAACACUUGGCCCCAUAUUUGAUGGCUAUGACUCAUGAUGAAGUCUCUCGGAAAGAUUUGUGUAGUUCACUUUAGGCCUACCACUUCAAAAAACGAUACAAGUGCUCUGAUACUCUCGCUCCCUGUACUCUUUAAUAGUUGUUGAAUUUAAAAAAAAAAUUAAAAAGAAUUAAAAUACAACAUAUAUGAAAGAAAAAUAGUAAUAUAAUAAAAAGUGAAACAGAAAGUGAUAUAAGAUAUUGAAUAGAAGAUCCGUUGUGUUUGAUACCACUUGUUGAGCACUCAUUGAUUUUUCUCAAGUGAUAGGCGUAAAAUAAAAUACAUAAAUAACACUCAUAACUUUAGGAUAAAAUGUUGACACUAAAUUAUUAUGUCCAUAAAGCACAGAUCAGCAAGCAAAUUCAGAAUAGCUAAAAACUUACAAAACCCAAACGCCAACUAAACUAAGCUCUUGUUUGAUAAUCCAAUUCAGCAUUUAAACUUAAUGGAUUUAGAUCUUAACAUAUUCAAACCGUUUGAUAACCAAAAAUUGAACAUCUGAAUUAAUUAAGUGGCACUGAAUUUCCUAGGCAAAACUUGCUCCCAAAAUUAAGUGAUAAGUUAUUCACUUAUCACUGAAUGUGAUAUGCGUUCAAAUGUAUUAGAUUUAAUACUUAACAAUUCAAUAACUUAUGGAUUCAAACUUCAAAUUUCAGAUUUCAGAUUUCAGUUUUCAUAUUUCAAUUUUAUCAAACGUACCCUUACUUUGCUCUAAACUUAUCACCAUAAAGCCUAUUUAUACUAGUCAAUGUCGUUUUAUCUAUUAGGCUUGUGGUCUUUGUUUUUACAAUUGCUAACUUGCACUAAUUUGAGGCGGUGGAAUAAGAGCUGAUACUUACAGAUUAUUCAAGAUAUGAACUUCUGGAGAGAUAGGCAGUGCAUCUUUAAUUGGAUGAACAAAAGAAACACGAAUACCUCCCUAUUAGGGUUGUAUGCGAGUCAAGCCACUCGUGAGUCGAUCUCGAGUUAUUUGAGUUAAAAUUCAACUCAAAUUCGGCAACACUGAACUCGAGUCGAGUUCAAACAUACUCAACUCGUUCGCUUACGAAACCAACUCGAUUAUAUAUAUAUAAUUAUUUUUUAUUUUAAUAGUAAAAUUACAUAUAUAUCCCUAAUACUUUAUUGUUUAUUAAGAAAAUUUACUAUUUUAUUCAUUUUUUAGAAAAUAAAAUAAUUAUUUUUAUUUUUUAAAGUUCAAACUCGAGCUCGAUUCAAUUCAAAUUUGAGGUCGAGUUCGAAUUCAAGCUUGAGUUUGGUAAAAUUAAGUCAAGAUUCGUUUCAAUUAGAUCAAAUUUCGACUCGACUCAACUCAUUUGCAACCUUACCUCUUAUCAAUUUGGUAAUACAAAAGGACAAGUUCAUGUGAUAGGAUUUCUUCAAAAGCACAUCCUUUCAAAUAAUUCAAUUUUCAUCAACUUUUCCCUUGAAACUUUUCUAAGUUGAACUGCCAUCCUCAAUUUUGUAACACGUAAUAGUGUGAUUCCAAUUUUUAUAGGGAUUAUGCCAUGGUAAUUGAAAUACAGCUAUAGAAUCGAAAAAUUACUUUAUUCAAGACCAUGAAUUGUUUAGCGUAACAGAUGUAAUAGUUGAAAAAACUUGAGAAAAAAGAACGACUUAUUAAUUAUUCUAGAAAAGAGAAGUCAUUCUUUCUAUAUUUGGAGAUUUUUGUAAAUAAGUAAUCCAAUCUCUCUAUUUCCUCUAAUCUCAAGAAUUUCAAGAGAAUAGGAAAGUGACACAAUAAGAAAAAGGGUUAAUUGUAAUAAACUCUCUUGAAAAAUGCCUCUUUCUCAUAUUGUCCCCUGAAUAUGUUAUUGAACCAAUUCGCCACCUAAGCUAUUGUAAUUUUCUCAAUCAACUACAAUUAGAAUAGGAAGCCUAAUUUUUGGUUGAAUCAGUGAUAUGCAACGCACAUAGUUUCAUGAAGUGACCAAAAUUUUGUCACAAGGUUUUAGGUUACCAAAUUUUUUAAUUACCUAUACUCUUGAAGAAAUACGUUCUAAACCACAUCUAAUUUUUCCCAAUAUCACUACGAAUUCUAAUUUUGCGCGUCUUUAUGAUAAUAAUUCAAGUUUAUUUCAAAUAUCAAUAUCUGGCUACUAUCUUUUGUAUCUUUGUUACAAAUGCAAAACCUACUAAAAAAAAUUUGAUCGUUAAGCACAUUGUACUCCAUAUUUUAUUAGUUCAAAAUUUUUUAUAAUAAGUGUAAUUAUCCAAAAUUCAUCUUGACUUAUUUUAUUUAUCUAAAAAUUUGUUCAAAACUUUCAAGUGAAAUGUAUACGUGAGGAAAGUAAUUUGUCAAUCGAGACCUUGUGCAUUUCAACAGGACAAAUUCAGCCUGAAGUUGGGCUCCCUAACCCAAUUUUACCUGAUUGGAAAUUUGUAAUAGCCCAGGAGGCGUAUAGGUUCAUUUAAACAUUCUGGGGGGCAAUUUGAGGAAGAGGCUUCUUUUUUGAGGGGCUUGUUAGAAAUAACUCCAAGAAAAUUUGAGAAGUCCUUACAAAUUAUGAUCUUCAUUUUUUAUUUGCUUGAAACACACAAACAAGAUAUGUUACAGUUGUCCUCCUCCAAAGUCUUUGUUUUCUAAUUUCCAAAGCAGUCCAAUCUCAAAUUUUUUUCUAAAACUUCAACGUAUAAUCUACAACAGAAUAAUGACUAGAUUGAAGAGCAUUGGAUUCAGGGGUCUCGGCAUUGAGGCUGAAAUGAUCAUGACAAUAACCAAAUUCCAGAUCACAAAAUUCUACUUGCAUGGACUACUGCACAUAAUUAAACAACAGACAAAGUAGAAAGAAUCACUUGGCUUUAGAACUGAAAGUUUUAGAAAGCUCCUUCAGUAGAGGAUUCUCUUUGAAUGCUUCAUCCUUUUCCAGAUGCCAUCUCUUUGAGGUAUCUUCAGCC